Molecule: long non-coding RNA, 64710 nt
Filed under: Fragaria vesca (wild strawberry)
Lineage: Eukaryota; Viridiplantae; Streptophyta; Magnoliopsida; Rosales; Rosaceae
Description: long non-coding RNA (FVES_LNC000155)
Source: RNAcentral
UUUCUAUCAUUUCAUUAUAUACGCCACUCUUUCCUAACUCAGACUGGAAAACAAAACGUUUCAACCUUGCACUCCAUCAAAACUUCAUAUCAUUCAAAACUUCUGUAACAAGAUCUCUCAUAAUCAGAGUUUCAAUCUCUCUUCCAAGAAUAUUAACGUCUUCCUCCACCAGUUCUGACCACAGCGAGGAUCCCAGAUCCCGGGCAACUAUUUCAUCCAGGGAGUGACAGUGUUUAUCAUUUGGAGGGUAUACAUAACGAUAGAUAAUCCCCCAAACAGAAUCUAACAACUUCUUACCACGUAAAGGUGGCAGGGCAGAAGAGUUGAUAGCUUUUCUUCUGAAUUUAGACAUGUUUAAUGGAGGUCCAAGAAUAGUUGAAAGAGCUUCGUUCAAUAAAUCAAGGAACAACUUGUGAUUUACCUUCCCAUUGUGAUCUUUGGUUGAGUUAUCGUCUGCACUGGCCAGCUUUUUAUAAGAUUCCUCCACUUCUUUGAACACGGAGAGGCUGAUGGGUUUCCCAGACGUGUCAUAUCUAGAAAAGGAUUUCUCGAAUGAUCCAUCGUACAAACCAGAAGCAACAAGCAAAUCUUUUAUGUAAACCUCUGCCGGGUUCUCUAGUCCAGACAUUUCAGAUUCGACCACUUCUUGUUCACCUGAUGCAUCGUCAGGCUCAUCAGACUCAAGUUGAUUCAGUUGUCUUCUUAGUUCUGUAGAAUCAAUAGAAGAUGAUUCACAUUUCAGGUCUUACACAGAAAAGCAUAUUUGUUAUCUUGUGAUCUGAUAAGGAUGGCCAAAUAUGUAAACCUUGUUGAUCCUGGAACCGUUACAUUGGAACUAAAUGGAUUUAGCAGAAUUGGGACAUAUUAAUACUGUAACGGUCAUGCAUGGAGCAUAAACACAGACAAGCACACAAUAAAAAACUCAGGAGUACUGUCAAUAAGCAUGUAUCAUAUUCAUACCAACCACCAAAUUUCAUAUUAAGCACAAAAAAUAUGUAGAAAGAAAUUCAUACCACUUAGAUUAUCGCUGAUGUCUCUGAAAGCCUGUGGCACAAAUCUGUCAUCUCUUGGAGUUGCAUUUGGAGUCGAUACUGGACUAAGACAAUCAGCUGUCCUGCAAAAAUCGUCCUGAGCAGUGCUGCAAACAGAUGCAGGACUAGGAGGCACCUCAGUGAAAUUAUCCUGAGACCAGAACAGAAGAAAUGACAUUAGGAUACAAAUUGAGCCUAUUGAAUCCGAGAAUAAUACGUAAAAAGCAUAGGGAAAAGAAAUGUCUCUUACAUGUCUCUCUCUAGAGUUGGUAAUAACUGUUGGACCACUCCUGAUGUCAUUCACAGGGUAAUGUUCAGUAUGGCUUGAUUCAGUCACUGAUUGAAUUCUUUUUCCAAACAGUCUUCCCUUAAGAGUAAAAUUGUAUUUGAAAUGGGAAACCUUUUCUUUGAAAUUGAACCUUUCUUUCUUCUGACUCUUCAUAUCCAAGGACACAUGUUCAAUGGCUUCAUGCUUUCUCCGAAUGUGAGCACCAGUCAAAAUGUGGCGGUUCUCCAGAAGAAGCUUCCCAAAUGAUGUUCCGGAUACUGGGGCAGAUAAGGACCUAAUGAGAUUUCUAGGGGACAAUUCUCUAUCCAGCAGCUUAUCGUCAUCUGAUCCAUGCCUGAAGGAUCUGGUUUUCACAUGGUCAUCUUUCACCAUUCCCCUUCCCCAGAAACUCAUAUCUUUUUGAGCUUCCAAAGUAUCUCCCACCUGCUUUACUUUGAACCUUUCAUAGUCUAGUGCAGAUGACCCGUAGCUGCCAGAAGAAAAUACAGGAGAAUUAAAUCCGGUCUCUCUUUCUGAAACAUUUCUUAGUCUCUCUAACAGGAACCUUCUAGUAUCUCUAUGUAUAAAUUCUGGGGAUCCUGCUCUAUCAUAUUGAACUUCACUUCUGUAUGAUCUUGUUGAUUCUGAUCGAAGCAAAUUCACUCCAAGAUCCCUAGUCACACUUUCUCGGACAUGGUUUGCAAUAUGCCGAGCAAUUUGCUUUGGAUCAGAUGGCUGUUCACUAAAUGGGGUCUCAAUUCCACUUCCUCGGACAACUGAACCCCUUUUAUGCACCUUCCCUUGGAGUUCACAUCUCAGUCGGUCCUUCACCUCCUCGAGAAAAUCUUCUAUACUACCCCUCUGAUCUAAAGUGCUUGGAGAAUUGAUCCAAGUCUCUUCAUGGUUGCAAAAGCUAUCAGGACCAGGUUUUAAGAUAACUAUCCUUGUAGGAGUUGAAGAUAUGUUCACUCUCUUCCUGGAAUUCAACAAGGAGGAUUGCUCAAAGUCUAAGCUCUUGGUUCUGCUUUUUGAAGAUAAAGAUCUUGUGUACUCAGAUGGGAAUAAAUCCAUUGCAUCUACACGAUGUGACGAAACACCUCUUUUGUGUGAGAUUUCUUUUACACUGUGAUCUAUUCUUUCCAUAGUCUUCUCAAUUGUCAUUUGCUUGGAUUUUGCAGAAACUGCUGUCUUUUCCUUGUUGAGAUGCUCUUGAGCAAGCAACUCUCCUGAUAUGCUGUCAUUUUCGAUAAUCCUUGAACAUUCCUUAAACCUGGCAGCUUGCCAUGCUUCAAAUUCUUUCUUGAACUUCUGUAGUUCCUUCUCUUGAGGAUGCUCUUCACGCCUUGGUUUUCCAACUUUCUGAUCUUCACACCAUCCAGCAUCCUCUGUGCCAUUAUUUUGAUAGAAUGAAUUGAGAUCCAACUCUCUGGAUGAAUUUAAGUCUGAAGAGACAUGAUCAACUGAGCUCUUUCCAUUCAUUUCCUUCUUUGAAGACUUUGUUCUCCUAUAUUCAUGUUUAUUCUCAAUUGGCUGAACUGCUGAUUUUAUAUCCACUGGCAACAUAUCCAUCCCCAUAAGCCGUGCCACAAUGCUUGGUCCAUUGUGCCUGGUACUUGAGCGUUUGGAUAUUUCCUCAUUGAUCAAUUUCUUCAUUGAACUUUCAAGUGGAUAAUUCUUUUUGGGACCAACUUCUUUCACCUGAUACAACUACAGAGAUCAGCACACAAAAAUUUAUCAAAACAGUAACUACAGAGAGGGAGCGCUACAACCAAACGUUUACAUAAGAUAUGCUAAUUACUCAUGGGAUUAAGUGUAUGGAUCAGAGUUGAAACUUUAUUCAAAUUGUCCUCCUUUGGCCUGAAUUUUCUCACAAAGUCUGACACGACCCAACUUAAUAGAAUAAAACAUAGUAAGGAAACAUGUUAAAAUUAAAGGGAAGAUGCAUGAUGCAUUUGAACGAAACAAUCAGAUUAUAUAAUAUGCAAGCAGAAGACGAAAACAGAGAGUUUUUCCUGUAAGAGUGUGAGACAGAACUGUUGGACCAAAUCCAGUAGCAGGUGUAUGACAAGCUGGAAAUUAUGUAAAGCUUCACACCAAAGACUCACAAUGCACCAUGUAUCACAAGAAUCACACAUUUUGGGGAUUUGAAAGAUUCACAAGAAUCAUAUUAGUACACAGCCUAAAGAGAAGCAGACCACUCUAAAUCCAUAAUAAAGCACAAGAUUACCGGCAAAUCUCCCAUGUCACAAUAGCUCUGAGAAGUUUCUACUUGCAUCUCCAAGCUAUUUCGUGGAGCAUCAAGGCCUGCAAUGUGUUCAAAACAUCUUAAUAUAUCAGAUUAUUCACAUUCUCCUGAUAUAGAUAAAAACCUUUCCAGAAAUAAUUUCUCUAAAAGACAAUCACUGUGCCCAUGUUAAGACUUCCAUGACUAAUAGAUACAGAUUUUUUUAACAUACGAAUCAAUAAAAAUUAAUUUGCUGAUCCAACCAGAAAUCAUUAAAACUAUAACUGGCAGUUCUUCUCAUUUCAGAUUGAAAUGAUAUCCAAUCAAUCCCAAACCAGACCUUCACUAUUUCAAGUUGUAUUAAAUGAACAAUAGAACUCACCACCAUCAUGUUUCUUAUGCACAAAAAGCUUCCUGGCCAUGCUGCCUUGAUUGAAAUCAAAAAGGUGCAAUAAGCCUCCCAUGCAGUCCCUGGAUCUACCAGAAGGAUAUCAUUCUCUUUGCACUGUCUAUGUCUCUUUACCCCAUCAAGUACCCAAUGUCAAUGUCUUUCAUCCACCAAAACAAUUCUCUGACAACUCGCGCAGUCGAAUUUAGCCUGCAAAAAACCAAUACAAGCCCAGAUUUCAGUUUAAUGAGCAGAACACAUCAAGCAAUGCGUAUCUAGCACACCUACUCAAUAAUUUACAAUUCCAACAAACAUGGUCCACCAUAUGAGUUCUUUCUUUUGCAUAACGAAAAGCAGACUACAAACCAAAAGAAUGAGGGGCCAAUCCAGCAAACAAAAUCAUUGAUAUGAAAGAACACUAAUUGCACAUAAGACUUUAAAUCAAUCAUCUCCACUCAUACACCGAAAUCCCAGAAAGAAGGUAAGGAUUUAGCAUAAAGAAAUAAACUUUGCUGUGAAUUCCCACCAAUCUAUUCAGUUUAACCAACCCUAUAACCAAAAUUCAUCAAUUUCCAAAACCCAGAAUCUGUUGUGAAAUUUGAGAAGGAAAAAAAGUAAAAUGCAAUGAAAGAAAAAAAGUAAACUAAAAAAGCUUGGAGCUUUUAUCUCACUGUGUUCCUGGUCUUGUUUCGUAGCAACCAAACCAAUUCAGUUUGACUAGACUCAUAAACAGAAUCUCAUCAAACUCAAGAACCCAGUAACAUUUUCAGAACUGUGAGAAGAAUAAAUAAAAGUAAACAUAAAAGCCUGACUAACCCAAUAAAAGCUUGAAGCUUGUUUCAGAGGAGCCAACCGAAGUGUCAGUUUCAAACUCAGUUAUGGCUUUAUGGGAUGAUGAGGUAGAUUAAGGACGGAGAUGAAAGUUAAGUGAAUGAACGAGAGAGAUUUCAAAGCUUCCGAGGAAUUGUGAGUUCGAUUGGAUCGUUGAUUAGAAUAAUGAUGAUAAAAUAUCUUCAAUAAUAAAAGUGGAACAGAGAAAGCUACUGCCGCUUUUGGUAUGGCUGGAAAGAACCGAGGCUUCCAUCUCCUCCUAUUCCCACUCUACUCAAUUCCACACAUCUUUUCUUACUCUGCUUUUUCAUUCAAAUUCUAAUGCAAGAUAAAAGUAGCUAGCAACCUCAACUCAUAGUCUCAUAUCAUUGGAAAAAUGGUUUAAAAAGCAAGAAAAGUUACAAACUUUAUGAACUCUGUGACACUCUCCGAUCUUGAUUUAUCAUGUAUAAUUUAUAUUUUUGACUGAUUUCAUACUACUAUGUAUAAAAUUAACCUUCUUAACAUAUUUGAGUUCGUGCAAAUUAAAACUAAACCCGCGUACACGUAUCUUGAUGAUUAAUUGUUGUGUCCCGGCAACAUUACAUCAAGCAGUACUACUCCAUUGAAAAUUUGAAAUGUGCAAGAGACAUGUACCUAAAUGAACAAAAACAACAUCUCGAAUAUGCCUUGGGAAUUAGUCAAACUUCCAAGAUAGACACCCCACAAAUAUCAGGCACACCUAAUUGCACCUUAACCAUGUGUAUGCGUCCUAUCGACUCUAUUGCUCGGAUUUAUCAUUAUUAUAGAUGUUCUCUUAAUAAUUGCCGUAAAAUUGAAUGUGACAAUUAUUAAGAGAUGUCACUUAUUAUCAAUAGUGACCAAGUCCCUUGAGAAAUUAUCAACGUAUAUAAUACAUGGCUUAAUGUCGAAUAGAAUGUUUAGGGGAAGAAAAUCCCAACAGAAUGCAAGGUGGAACAGUUUAUUGCUCAUUUGGUUGUUCCAGAUGGUCACCACUGGGUACUAAAACACAAAAACAAAAACAAAAAAAUUCCAAAAAUAUAAAGAAAUGAAAAUGGAAGUGAAUAUUUUAUGGAUGAUGAUCCAAGAUUAGAAAUUAAAAUAUAAGAGAGAUGGAUGGUGAUUGGUUGUAGGGUUUGUAGUAGCACGUAACGAACAGCUCAAUGACAGUUGCUUUUGCGCACGACACCUCCAUUUGGCGCCUUCACCAUCAUCAACCAUCAACUUCCAACAAUAACAACAAGAAGAAGAAGAAGAAGAAGUUGUGUGCCUAGCUAGCUCCAUUUUUAUAUCAUUCUUCUUCUUCUUCUUCUUUGCUGCCUUCUACAGCACACAGGUGCGCUUAUCACACGCUUCAGAUACAGUUCGGAUCCUCACAGAAUCCGGGUUCUUAAUUAAUAGACUCACCAGGAGCUGCUUGCCGGGGACUUUCCGGCGAGUGUCUUAUCAUUUUUCUUCAUUAGAUGGACUAGAUAAAUUACAUGUCAAUUGUCACGUCCGAUAUGAUAGUUUUAAUAGUUACGUUUUGGACAAGAUAUUCAGUUCAAGCAUGCGGAAAGUUUCUUUUUUUUCCCUACUUCUUUUCACCAUCUCACCUAUGUGCCAAGUCCGUCAACUAAAUAUGUGUUCACAUCAUUCUGUUCAACCACAUUUUUAUUAUUCUCAAGGCGAAUUGUACACAUCAUGUGAUAGAUUGAAGAUUGCAGACAGUGAGAGGGUUCAAAUGACCCUUCUCACUUUUCCUUACACAUGAUAGGUUGAUACAUUAGUAUACUUCCAUAUUUAUAUUACAUAAUUAGUGUAAAGUUUGACCCUUAUUACAUACGAUUUUUAGACAAUUUAAGAAAAUAUCUUAAAAUAUGAGCAAUCGUCAUGGAUUGCUUAGCGUAAGACAAUUUAAGAAACAAGUCCCACCGUCACUCCCGAGUGAGGAAGAUUUUUUGUUUAGCGUAAUAUUACUAUUAAAUUAUGACUCUCAUAAUUUAUUUUUCUGGCUACGCCACUAGUUGCAGAUAGUUAGCUAGACAUAUAAGUUUGUGGAAGAAUGGAGUUGUGUAGGAAUACUCCGAGUAAAAUUGGUGGGUUGAUCUGUUGAUGUUUAGCAGCAAAGUAAAAGUAAAAGUAAAAGUAAAAGUAAAAAGAUGAGCACAAAAUAAUCCAUUAACCGAAAUAAGAAUGUAACAGACAUGCAAUAGUGUAAGAGAUAUGUAACAAAAAAGAAAAUGAUCGACCCAUACAAUAGUCUAGUUUAGGAACUCAAUCAACUCGAUCUAAUUAAAUUAAACUGAAGUACUUGAUCUCUUGCCGAAAACCAACAGUCAAAUUCAGUCGAUACAUGUAACACACCAAAGUUUAGCUGGAAAUGGAUGAUUUUUGUUCUAUAUGAAUGUCCUCUUUAGGAGAACUAACACCCCACCUUUGAUUCCUUGAACACACAAUGUGCUUCUCACAUCAGUCACAUGACCAAAAUUACUAAACAACAAGAUAGCCUAUUAUUCUGCAAACCCGUGUAAAAGCAAAUCUGAAAAGCUCAUAAACCCUUAUCCCAUACAACAUUACAACUCAUUCGAUCAUGGUUUCGCUAACCCGAGUGGGGCAGAAGCCAAAACCCUCCCAUGAUCACAAUGAUGCCCAGAACGCUCUCUCAUGUGCUCCAAAGCCAAAACCCUAGCCAGCUCCGUCUCUUCGUGAUGAUGAUGAUGAUGGACUCCAUUAUAGCUUUCUAAAGGGACCAAAGGUUUCAGGGCAACUUUCAAAACCAGACCCACCUGGCGGGUUCGGAUUCGGGCACGUGCUGUGGGUGUUAAAGUCCGAUCCGGAAGUGUAUUAUUAUGGUGGCAGCGGAAAGCUGCCGGAGACUGGGCCACUCAGACGGCGCUGAUCCAGUUGUACGGGUGGUGGAGGACAGUGGGGUCCCCGGCUUUGUUACUGAUUACGGCCGGCCGGGGCAUACAAACCCAUGACCCGGUAGUUUCAGGUUCAUGAUCUAUUUGUUAUUGGGCCUCAGUUUGUGGGCUGAAAGGUACAUAGGUGUUGUUACGGUCCAAUGUCUGUGACCCAAUAGACACGGAGGAAUAUGUUGAUUGUCUAGAAUUGAAUAGAAUAUGUUGUUGUUACGGUCCAUUUGCUAGUUCACUCAAGAUUAUCGGUGCAUCGAUAAUAGACGGAAUCCGGCUAGAAUUGAAUGUACGAUUGUAUCUUGAUAAUAAGCUGUAUCAUUUUCUUGCUAGUCCAAAGUGUCGACUCCGUGUAUAACGGUACAUGGCCAUUUCAUUAAGGAAUUCGUUCUUUUGACCAGUUUAAAAGUCACACUUCAUCGGUGUAUAUGUUUUUUAAAGACAUUGGAUGACUGAGAUUAAGUAAAAAUAACACUUUUUGUCAAACUUAAGUUGUUCAAGGUCAUAAAAAAUAAAUCCAAAUUUUGAAUGUUGUAACAAUUAUCAAUUCGGUAUUUGGCUUAAAUUUCACAUAAUUGAUCUACUUAUAUAGACUUAGAAAAUGAGUGGUGGAGAUUUGGAUUUGUGAUUGAAAAGUUGUCACAUAUCAUCAGUUCCUCGAAAUGACAACUUCCUUAGUAGAAGUGUCAUGUAUAACAAUAAAUAAAAUGCUCAUGUCUUUUUUGAUAAUGUUUUAAUAAGAUUUAGGUGAAUUCUUGAUCAUGUAUUACAACCACGUGAGUCGAAUUCACAAUCUCCCACUUACUAAAUGGAGACUCUAUGCCGCUAAACCAAAUGAUACUGAGUUAUAAAAUAUCAAUUUGAAGUUGAUUUUUUCACUUCCAGUAAUGAUAUUCUUAAAAUGAUCAUCGAUUUGGACGCUUCACAUAUUUUACAAAUUAGUAACUAAACUAUACUUAUCACGUCCGACAUCACGAUUGGAGCUCAUUAUCUUCUAUAUUUGACAGAGCUCAUUUUAAUGUUUCCACAUUAGUGGAAAAUAAUAUACAAACUGGAUACCGUUUUCGAAUGCUUUGUAACUUCAUAGACACGUAUGGACAUUUGACCGUUGCAUACUAGCCAAACCACAUUCUCGGCUUUCCAUAUUGGCUAUACUCCACUUUUUGAAAAUCCGUUAAGGUUAGUUAUUUCUCAUCUACUACCCCCUCGGAGAUAUGAUGCUCGGAAAAACCAGAGUUUGGUUAUGAGUUUUACGCCCAGAUUCUCUUUCAUCGCAUAUGAUUCCACACUUUGUGAUUCCCUUAAGUUGCAUAUAUAAAAGUAUGUGACAAUCAUUAAAAUCUCCGUAAUCAUUAUCUAACAAAGCGGAUACAUAUAUUACGUCAAACACAAUAUACCUAAAAAAAAAGACCGACGAGACAUGAUGAUCUUUAUUUUUUCCGUUUUUUUCACUCAUCCCACCGCCGAUAAACCCUCUCAAACAACAGAAUUUGAAAAAGAAAAAACCCACCAUAUAGCAAUUGAUGUUAGAAAAAUGAAAUUAAAAAUGGAAUCUUGAAAUGUUGAACCUGAAAACCACAAAUUUUGGCAACGGGCGCCAAACCCUGAGCCUAAGUAAGCAAUUUCCCGCCUAUACGUGUCCAUUGAAAACCUCUCAAUAAAUAGAGAGCGUCCAAGAGCCACAGUUCUCACUAUCAGACCAACUCCUCCCAUUUUAGCCAUUUCUAGGGUUUCUCCGCCGAUAAGGAAACUAAUGGGAUCCAUCGCGGCAGCCGAUGAUGCCGCCGCCGCCGCCGCAGCCACCGCACCUCUAAACGACGCCGAAUCGGCUCCUUCUGCGCUUUCCUCAGGUAAUUCGGUCCCCUCACUCUCUCGUUUGUGUUCGAUUCUGUUCUCUGUUGUGAUUUUUUUUUUAAUUAGGGUUUUGGUGAUGUAAUUAUUGUUUUCAUUUGUGGAAAUUGUGAGGUUUGGUGGUGGUUGGGUGGUAUGAGUUUGUGAUAAGGGUUUAUGGUGAGGUUUUGUUUUGGUUUUAUUGAUUAAGGAUCUGUAGGUCUUGAUAAGGGUUAUAAUUUUGCUGUGAAUUUGUUGUUUUGUUAGGAUGAUUUGGUUUGUUAUGAGUUUUGAAUUAGGUGAGUUUUCGGGCUGAGUAAUUCGAGUGGUGUUUUGUUUGGAUCAAUGGAUUAUGGAUUAACAGUAAUCGGUUUUGAAUUUAUGAUGUACUUUCUGUAUCAGUAGUCUCGAGAAAUCAUGUAUUGAAUUACCGGAUUUCUCAUGGAUUUGUUUGCUUCGGUUUUAGUUUGUCUUGAAUUUGAGCCGUUUCGUUAAACAAUUUAGAGGAGCUAUACCUGGAUUCUCUUUUAUUCAUUGUAUUGAAUGAAAGUACUUUGUUGCUUUAUGUGUGGGAGUUGAUUAGAAUUAUAUUUAGCUUUACCUUGUCAAUUGUUUUGCCUAAUUUUUGGAGAUUAUGGAAUAGGAACAACGAAGAAGAAGGGUAGAAAAGCUACCCAAAAGGAAGCGCCUGCUGGCGGUAGAGGUAGGAAGCGAAAUGUGCCUCCAACUGGUGAAGAGCAAUCCCAGUCCCGCAAAAUGCCCAAGCGAGCUGCUGCGUGUAAAGACUUUAAGGAGAGGGCUGUUCGAGUUUCCGAAAAGUCUGCUUUCAUCGAAAGCAAGGAGGAGCAGGUUGUGCCAGAUGAAAGUCUUGCCGUAGUCAUGACUUGUGGAAAGGAUCCAGAUGAUGAGAAGCCGAACAGGAGAUUGACUCAGUUUAUCUUGCAUAAUGAAGAUGGUAUUGUACAGCCACUUGAGAUGGUGCAACAUGGUGAUCUGUUUAUUACUGGUACUCUAUUGCCUCUUGAUGCAAGUUCUGACAAUGGCAAGGGCAAGGGAAAGGAAAAGGGUGUUAUAUGUGAAGGUUUUGGGCGGAUAGAAGCUUGGGACAUCUCUGGUUAUGAUGAGGGAUAUCCAAUAAUAUGGCUUACAACUGAUGUUGCUGAUUAUUGUUGUGUUAAGCCUGCAAGCAGCUACAAGAAACACUAUGAUAAUUUCUGUGAGAAAGCACGUGCUUGCAUAGAGGUCUACAAAGUACUGUCAAAAUGCAACUCUGACUGCAGUCUUGAUGAAUUACUUGCUGGCAUCGCUCGAUCAAUGAGUGGAAACAAAUUCUUCUCUGGCAGUGCUUCUAUCAAAGAAUUUAUCAUUUCUCAAGGCGUGUUUAUAUAUAAUCAAUUGGAAGGUUUGGAGGAGUCUUCUAAGAAGAAUGAUCGGGUAUUGGCACAGCUGCCAGUUCUUGCAGCCCUUAGACAGGAGUGUAUAAUGCAGGGAUACUAUGUGACUUCAAACCCAGCAGCUUCAAGCGGUACAUUAAAGAUUGCUUCAGAUGGAGGGAAUAGUUCAUCAAAAGUUGAAACCGAGGAAGACGAAGAUGCCAAGUUGGCUAGACUUAUUCAAGAAGAAGAAUACUUUAAAUCUAUGAAGCAGAAAAAGCGUCAGGGUGCUGCCUCCAUGUCAAAGAAAUUUUACAUCAAAAUUAAUGAAGAUGAAAUUGCUAAUGAUUAUCCUGAACCUGCCUAUUAUAAGACUGCUAUUGAAGAGACAGAUGAAUUUAUAGUGGUUGAAAGUGAGGAUGGGGAUCUUCCCACGCACAUGCUUCACAACUGGUGUCUAUACAAUUCAGACUCGAGACUGAUUUCGCUGGAGCUUCUUCCAAUGAAGGCUUGUGCUGAUAUUGAUGUUACGAUUUUUGGUUCUGGGGUUAUGAGUGAAGAUGAUGGAAGCUGUGGAUUUGAUCUUGACAGUAUCCAGUCGUCUUCAAGUGGUCCAGUAGUACCAGUAGCAGAGGAUGCUUAUGGCAUGCCAGCUUACUUGAGUUCCAUAAAGGAAUGGGUGAUAGAAUGGGGAGCCUCAAUGAUUUCAGUAUCAAUUCGAACAGAACUGGCUUGGUACAGACUUGGCAAGCCAUCAAAGCAGUAUGCUAAGUGGUAUGCACCAAUACUGAAAACAGCAAGGGUUGGGAGAAGUAUAAUCACAAUGCUCAAGGCAGAAAGUCGAGUAGCACGGCUCUCUUUUGCAGAUGUCAUUAAAAGAUUGUCAGAGUUCCCUAACAGCGAUGGUGGUUACAUUUCUUCUGAUCCAGCAUCUGUUGAGAGAUAUGUGGUUGUACAUGGACCGAUAUUACUUCAGCUGUUUACAGAAUUUCCAGAUGGGAAGAUUAAAACUUGUCCAUUUGUUCAUGGUCUUAGAGACAAAAUGGAGAAGAGGCACCAUACUAAAUGGGAAGUAAAUAAGAAGAUUUUGCAGAAGAGUGAAUCAAAUUUGAACCCGAGGGCAUCAAUGGGACCUGUGGCGUCCAAGAGGAAAGCAAUGCAAGCUACGACAACAAAGCUGAUUAACAGAAUCUGGGGGGAGUACUAUUCAAAUUACUCUCCAGAAAAUUCAAGCCCAGUGGAAACUUGUGAAAAGAUAGAGGAGGAUGAAGUUGAUGAAGAGGUCCAGGAGGACUUAGAAGAGGAUGAUGCUGAAGAGAAUUCAUCAGUAGUGAAAGAAGCCCAAAGACCUUCUCCGAUUUUAAGAAAAAUUAAAUCAAGCUCCAGUAGCAAGAAGGUUUUGUGGGAUGAGGAGCCUGUGGGAAAAACAUCUUCUGGUGAAGCUGUCUACAAGCAUGCUGUUCUUCGUGGAGAAGAGAUUUCUGUGGGUGGUGCUGUUAUGGUGGAAGUUGAUGGUUCAGAUGAACUUCCUGUUAUCUAUUUUGUAGAAUACAUGUAUGAAUCAUCAGAUGGAGAAAAAAUGCUCCAUGGCAGAAUGAUGCAGCGAGGAUCUGAUACUGUUCUGGGAAACACUGCUAAUGAGAGGGAGGUAUUCUUGACAAAUGAGUGCAUAAACUUGGCACUGAAGGAUGUGAAACAGACGGUUGUUGUGGGUAUCAAGUCAAUGCUGUGGGGGCAUAAACAUCGGAAGGAAAAUGCUGAUGCUGAGAGAAUUGAUAGAGCAAAUGCAGAAGAGAGGAAGAAGAAAGGAUUGCCGACUGAAUACUACUGUAAAAGCUUGUAUUUCCCGGAGAAAGGUGCUUUCCUUAGUCUUUCUCGUGAUACUAUUGGUCUGGGGUCUGGUUUUUGCUUCUCUUGCAAAGCUAAUGAAGAAGAAAAGGCCAAAGAAGUCUUUGAAGUGAAUUCAUCAAAGACUGGUUUUAUAUACAGUGGAGUUGAGUACUCAGUUCAUGAUUAUGUCUACGUAAGCCCCUAUCAUUUCUCUGUGCAAACAAUUGAAACUGAACUUUUCAAGGCUGGACGGAACCUGGGGUUGAAACCUUUUGUUGUGUGCCAAGUGCUGGGGAUAAUUACAAAGGGAUCUAAACAAUCUGAAAUGAAGUCUACCCAGGUUAGACACCAUUUUAUCAGUUACUGUUUUAUGCAAUGUUUUUCCUUUAUUUAUAUACAGUUUCUUACAUAAUAUUUUCAUGGUUUAACCCAGGUUAAAGUUCGAAGGUUUUUCAGACCAGAGGACAUUUCGGUUGAGAAAGCGUACUGCUCAGAUGUCAGAGAAGUCUACUACAGUGAAGAACUACACAUUUUGCCUGUAGAUAGCAUAGAAGGGAAAUGUGAAGUCAGAAGGAGGAGUGAUCUUCCAGAAUGUAAUGCUCCUGCAUUGUUUCAGCAUAUAUUCUUCUGUGAGCAUUUAUAUGAUCCUUCCAACGGGUCUCUUAAGCAGUUGCCGGCUAACAUCAGGGUAAAGUACUCAACAGUAGGUGGUGAUACUGAAUCGAGAAAGAGAAAGGGCAAGUGUAAAGAGGGAGAAGAUGUUCCUGAAGCUGAGCAACAGAGAGAUGAUUCUGAACACAAACGCCUAGCCACUUUGGAUAUAUUUGCGGGAUGUGGUGGCUUAUCGGAGGGGUUGCAUCAGGCUGGUGUGUCAAUAACCAAGUGGGCAAUCGAGUAUGAAGAACCGGCUGGACAGGCUUUCCAACUCAACCAUCCCGAGUCCAAGGUAUUCAUCAACAAUUGUAACGUCAUCUUGAAGGCCGUCAUGGAUAAGUGUGGAGAUACGGAUGAUUGCAUUUCCACUACUGAUGCCAAUGAUUUAGCAUCAGCACUAGAUGAAAAGGAGAAGAGCGAUUUGCCCUUGCCAGGACAGGUGGACUUUAUAAAUGGAGGCCCUCCAUGCCAGGGUUUUUCUGGUAUGAACAGAUUUAACACCAGUACUUGGAGUAAAGUCCAGUGUGAAAUGAUACUGGCCUUCUUAUCCUUUGCUGAUUACUUCCGGCCAAAAUACUUCCUCCUGGAGAAUGUGAGAAACUUUGUGGCUUUCAAUAAAGGACAGACAUUCCGUCUGACUUUGGCUUCACUUCUGGAGAUGGGUUAUCAGGUGAGGUUUGGUAUUCUGGAAGCCGGUGCUUAUGGGGUUUCCCAGUCCCGAAAGCGAGCAUUUAUUUGGGCAGCUGCACCAGAUGAGAUUCUUCCCGAAUGGCCAGAGCCAAUGCAUGUUUUUGGCGUGCCAGAGUUGAAGAUCAACUUGUCCAGUAAUUCAUAUUAUGCUGCUGUUCGGAGUACUGCAAGCGGUGCCCCUUUCCGCCCCAUAACAGUAAGAGACACAAUUGGCGAUCUCCCAGCUGUAGGGAAUGGAGCAUCCAAGGUCAAUAUGGAGUAUGAAAGCGACCCUGUCUCAUGGUUCCAGAAGAAAAUCAGAGGGAACAUGGCUGUUUUGACUGAUCACAUUUCAAAAGAAAUGAACGAGCUGAACCUCAUUCGGUGCAAGAGGAUCCCCAAGAGGCCUGGUGCAGACUGGAAGGACCUUCCAGAGGAAAAAGUGAAGCUCUCUACUGGUCAGCUAGUCGACUUGAUACCAUGGUGCCUGCCCAACACCGCCAAACGCCACAAUCAGUGGAAGGGCCUGUUCGGAAGGUUGGACUGGGAAGGCAACUUCCCAACCUCCAUUACUGAUCCUCAGCCGAUGGGCAAGGUGGGAAUGUGCUUCCAUCCCGACCAGGACAGGAUUAUUACCGUUCGAGAAUGUGCUCGUUCUCAAGGCUUCCCUGAUAGCUACCAGUUUUAUGGUAACACCCUCCACAAGCACAGGCAGAUUGGAAAUGCUGUCCCUCCAACUCUGGCCUACGCUCUCGGCCGAAAACUCAAGGAAGCAGUCAACAGCAAGAAGAGGUCUUCUUCACAAGAGUAGCUGCAGAGGUUUCAUGUUAAAGCAAAAUCCCUAUUCUCUUUUAUUGUGUUGUAUUUGUUUGUAGACUUCAUUUCAAAUAUCCAUGAUUAUACACAGAAGUGUUACUCACAUUUUCAAAACUCUUUUUCUUCUUCUUUCUUUUUCAUAUUUGACGUCAUGCGGUCAAUUUCGUCAUUUGAGUGAAAGCAAAGUCAACAUGUGGGUCAACUAUUUUCCUUCUGAGCAAUGUUAUGGUACUCACCUAACCACGCUCCACGUGUCCCCACCUGGGGAUCCGGACGGUGAUUGUCCGUUUUGAAACUACUAAACUUGUCUCCUUGCUCCAACUUAAAAACUGAAAUCAACGGCUUUUUCUUUCACAUUUUCUCUCACUCUUUCACUCACUCACUCUCUCUUCCCUCGUCGGUUAUCUCAAAGCACAAAUCUUGGCCUCUUCUUCUUCUUCCUCAAGAUUUCCAGUCUCCUAUUCCGAAUCCGGGUUCUCUCUGAUCAGCCAUGUUUGUUAGGAAGCUUGUGGAGAAGGCUUCCAAGAAGGUAAGUCGCUCAUAUUCUUCUCUGUUUUGGUCUCUGUUUCUGCAAAAACUGCAGAAUCCAUCUUUCAAAGAAAAGAUCAAUGGGGUUGUUUUUCGAUUAUAAAUUUCAUCGAUUUGAUCAGAUUCUGCAACAUCUUUUGUCUAAAAAAGCUAAUAAUAUUGAACUAAAUCGGUGAUUAAGAUAAUAGCAUGUCAGGGGAUGCACGUUACUUCCUAAUUUUUACAAUCAUUUUGAUUCCAAUUUCAUGAAGACUUUACCAAAAUUGGAGAAGAGAGCUUUAGCAUCUGUAUUGUCUGUAUUUUGUUUGUGUACGUAUUUGCUUUAUGAGAUCAGUUGGGUGGUGUAGUGGUUUGUAUGAUUGGAUCGAAUGGGUUGGAAUAGUAGACCAAACUAAUUAGAGUUGCCAGAUGCCAUAUUUUCAGAAAUGGGAUCAAAUUAAAUAGUCCUUUUUCAUGAUGAACACGCAAUUCUGCGCCCAUUGGAUUAGGUGUAUACGUUUGCAUUUUCCAGAAAAGGACAGCAAAUAAUCCUAUAGGUGUAUUUGGUAGAUGAGAAUGUUACUAAUUUUGUAUAAUAUAGAAGAGAAAUUCGUUACCCAAUACAUUUACUAUGAUAUAAAUAUUGAAUCCGGAGUCAAGAUUGAUGAAAGAACGGCUAUAGUAUGCUUUUAUACGAUUGCCUAAACUAAUUUGUUACUAUCGAAAACUCUAUUAUACAUCCGUUUACAGUAGUGUUCACCUGGUCAGUAAUUGAUUAAGAGAUUCAUAGUCAGUCACCGUUGGAUGUAAAUCUAAGAGUGGAGAGAUUUAUUUUUAAGUUGAGUUGUUUUAUUUUUAACCCUUAGAUGUAAAUCUAACGGUGCUGAUCAUGAAUCUCUUAGUCAAUUACUGAUUAGGUGAACAUUACUGCAUCCGUUUAUGACAUGGUCUAAACUUCAGCUAAUAUAGUAGAAGCAUAUUAGUUCAUAAUAUUUUGGUCUUGACACAAGCUCGAGGGACCUAGUAAACCUCUAAUUUGUUUGAAAUACUAUCAACACAAACGUAGGUAUCAAGUCUCACCUUUGAUUAACCCUCUUUAAACUUUAUUAAAGGCCUUUAAAAACACAUCAUUUCCAUGCAAAUAGCUGCCACGUACAAGCAUUACAGAAAUAAUAGUGAUUACUGAGGCUUAAAGCCAAAGGGGGGUUAAUAAAUUAAGAAAAACAAAAAACCGAAAAUGAAAAACAAGAGCACCACAACUUAUUCUACAAUUUCCAUCUUGUUUUGUACUGGAUCCAUUUUCAAAGAUGAAAUUCCUCUUUUAUUUGUUUAAAAUUUGCUUAGUGAUAUCUGAAUAAUCUGAUGGGAUUUAUGGUCAACGCUCUCGUAGCAAAGAAGCUACUAAUGUUGGUCAGAAAAUCUCCAUGUGCUGGACGGUGGAUUAUUAUGGUUCUUAUCUACAAAGAGAUUUAGCGGGCCCGGCCCAUUUCAAUUUUUAAACAUGAACCCACGUACGUGUCAUGUGUUUCGUUUUCCAGGGCCCACUAGGAGGUUAUUGUAAGAUUGUUACACCUGUCCAUUGGUCAACCAACUGAUAAAAGUCAACCGGAAAUAUUUGCUGUGUAGUUUUUCUUUGAACAAUAACUUCUGCUGUGUCUUGAGAGGGUUGUGCACAACUCAGCCAGAUACUGAAAAGAAAAAACCAGAAAAUAUUCAGAAUUUUGUUUAUGAUUAAUUAAUUACAAAUGCAGCUAAGGUCUAGAAUGUUACACUCAUUGUUUGUUUAUCCUUAUUGUAGCCUGGAGGAAGUUCUGAUGGUCUGAAAGGUGGUGAUAUAGACCCGCGAGUAGUAUUCCACAAUGGAGUACCAUCAGGAUCUAACACACUGGCUUAUGACUCCAUCCAAAAAAUACUUGCAGUUUCAACCAAGUGAGUUCAUUUCCUGCAAAUUCAAAUUGAACUGAUGUUAGUGUUCUUCGUCUUGUAUGAUAUAUAUAUGAUGGUGAUCUUAUCAUUCUCAGGGAUGGCCGGAUUAAGUUAUUAGGUAGAGAUAAUACUCAAGCGCUACUUGAGUCUGUCAAUGCAUUACCAAGCAAGUUCCUACAGGUUCUGUAUGAUAUUAUCUGUUGUUUUCUACAAUUCCCUGCCUUUGUUUUGUGUGGUCAUACUGUCAAUCUAACAGAAUAUUGUUCCUGAUUGAUUUUUUACAGUUCGUGGAGAACCAAGGCAUACUUCUAAAUGUAAAUGCCAAGAACCACAUUGAGGUAAGUUCCACAUCCUUAUUUUUUCCAAUAUUGGACUUCUUCAAGAUUUAGUGAUGGACUGCCUGGAUAUGUUUAUGUACUUAGGUUUGGGACUUGGAAAACAACCAGUUGGCUCAUGUACAUGCUUUUCACGAAAAUAUUACGUCCUUCGCGCUCAUGCAACAGAGUCUCUGCAUGUAAGUGUGUGUAAGCUUCAAAUUGUCGAUUAACUAGAGAUAUGUGGUUCAUUAACUUCAAGUAACUAUGUAACUGUUUUGGCAGGUAUGUUGGAGAUUCUGUUGGGAAUGUUUCAGUUUUGAAGCUUGAGCAAGAAUCAUGUCAUAUAUUACAAAUGAAAUACACUAUACCUUAUUCAGCUUCUCAUGGUCAGAUGCAUUCCUAUACAAUUUUACGCUAAGAUUAGAUAGAUGAUGUCCUCUUCUUAUCCUGUUCCUGGCAGUUCUAAUUAACUUGAUCAAUCUUCUCAUCAGGGAAUCCAACUGAAGUUACAGGCGACACUGCUGUGAUGUGCAUAAUGCCUCAGCCAACAUGUGAAAGUAGAAGGUAGUAUCUCUAAAACUUGUCGGCCUAUUUCAUGAUUGGCAUCACAAGAUUUUGAUGUUACUUAGUUCUCCUGUUGGAAUGCAGGGUUCUUGUAGUAUUUUUAGACGGUCUAAUAGCGUUAUGGGACAUUAGAGAAAGUAAAUCCAUAUUCACAGCUGGUGUAAAUACAUUGCAAUCACUCCAGCAUGAAACAAGGAAAGUCACUUCUGCAUGCUGGGCAUGUCCUUCUGGGACUAAAGUUGUUGUUGGGUACAACAAUGGAGAGAUUUUCAUCUGGAGCAUUCCUAUGAACCAAAAUCCAUCAGAAUGCAGCACGCAAAGCAGUCCAAUAUGUAAACUCAAUCUUGGAUAUAAGUUGGACAAAAUUCCUAUAGCAUCACUGAGAUGGGUUUAUGCAGAAGGGAAGGCAAGUCGAAUAUAUGUUAUGGGAGCGUCUGACAUCGUUUCGUCAAACUUGUUGCAGGUACUUCAACAUUACCACUAUGAAAUGUGUCACUGCUAUAACUGAAUGAAACUUUGAAAUUUUGAUUUUGAUGAGGCAGGUAAUCCUGUUGAACGAGCAUACUGAAGGCCGCACUAUUAGAUUAGGACUUCAGCUGCCUGAGCCUUGUAUCGAUAUGGAGAUUAUUUCUUCAACCUUUAGUGAGCAAAGCAAACAUAAACAAGAUUGUUUUCUUGUGCUUGGUAGUUCAGGACAUCUUUAUGCCUAUGAUGAUUGCUCGAUUGAAAAGUAUCUUCUACAAAGCCAAUCUAAGUCACCACCCUCGUUGCCGAAGGAAGUCAUGGUGAAGAUGCCAUUUGUUGAUACCAGCAUUACUGUAUCAAAACUAAUCACAGAUGAUACCAACAUGUCAACUUCUACAGACGAGGUAAUAUGUAUACCAAGUUACUUCUUUCUUUUAACAGUUCAUUACUAGUAUUUUAAGAAAAUGAUGUGAUAGUUUGAUUCCUAUGAUUCUUUUAUAGGAAUACCUUCUCCUGGCCAAAAGCAUUCCAUCUCUCCUUUCUUUUGAGGCAAAACCAAAAGAUGGAAGUCACUUGAAUGCAGCCCGCUUUAGUGGCUUUUCGAAAGUUAAAAAUCUGUACAUAACUGGACAUAGUGACGGAAGCAUAAAUUUUUGGGAUUUGUCGUCCCCACUUUUAGUUCCCAUUUUAUCAUUGAAGCAGCAGGUACUUUUCUUGCCAUUUAUGUAGCAUUUGUCAUUUUUGAACUGCUAGUAACUCUUUUUACAAUGGCUCAAUGUGCAACUAAGAACGAUUAUUCUUACAUUAUCCUCCUUUUGAAAACAAUAUGCAGAGUGAAGAAGAUCUAUCUUUAAGUGGUAUAGCACUCACAGCUUUGUUUUUUGAUGGGAACUCUCGACUUCUUGUUUCUGGAGAUCAGAGUGGAACGGUGAAGUACCAUCUUUGUUCUGUUUAUUGAUUAUUAUCAUUUCAUUGCAUUCAGGAGAAUUAGUGUUUCUAAUAUAUAUGUGAACUACAGGUUCGGAUCUUUAGAUUUAAACCUGAACCGUAUGUGAUAUCCAGCAGUUUCUUGUCUCUUCAAGGUAUGAUAAAAUUGAUUUAUCUACAAGGCCAUUGCCUUCAAACUUGAAUUGUUCUUUCUUUACUUCAGAGAGUGCAUUACAAGUGGUCUUAUGAUUUCAUAUACUCUUUGCCAGGAAGUACAAAGAAAGGAAACGAUCAUAUUGUUCAAAGUGUUAGAUUAAUGAAGGUUAAUGGUUCUGUACUUUCUCUGAACGUAAACCACAGCUCAGGACAUCUUGCUGUGGGUUCUAGUAAAGGAAACGUAAGCUUACACUGUGAUCUUUGAUUCUUUUCUCUUUCUCAACUCUUCUCAUUUUCUCCUUUAUUGAUUGUGAAUUUCUUCUCCUCUUUCAUCACAGGUUUCAGUUAUUAAUAUAGAAGGGCCCACUUUAUUAUAUCAAAGCCACAUUGCGAGUGAAAUUUCUACAGGCAUCAUCUCUCUGCAGUUCGAAACCUGCAGUUUUCAUGGUUUCGACAAGAAUGUCUUAGCUGUUGCAACAGAGGACUCAUCUGUUUUGGCUCUUGAUAGUGAUAAUGGAAACACAUUGAGCACUAGUCUGGUUCAUCCCAAGAAACCCACUAGAGCACUUUUUAUGCAGAUCUUGGGUAAGUUUUUCUGAGAAUGGAAUCUUGUCAUUUUGACAACAUCAAAUAAUCUCAGACAUUUAAUCUUAAAUGUAUUAAAUGAUUUAGACACCAGGAAAGGCAGUAGUGUUGAGAAUGCCAUGCAAAAGCAGUCUUCGCUAUUGCUAUGUUCUGAAAAAGCGGCAUACAUAUAUUCUUUCACACAUGUUAUGCAGGUGAUUAGUACUUCAUCUUAUGUAGGCAGUACAAAUUGUUGAAAUACUUUAUCUGAUUAUGAACUCUUAUUUUUCUUUCUUUCAACUCAGGGUGUUAAGAAGGUAAUACACAAGAAGAAAUUCCAAUCCUCUUGUUGCUGGGCAUCAACAUUCUACACCUCCUCUUAUGUUGGCCUUAUACUUGUUUUUACUACUGGAAAAAUUGAGAUAAGGUGGUGACAUGUCAUAGUCUUUUAUGUUCUUUUUCUUUAUUUGAAUAUAUUCGUAAGUAAAUUUCAUAGCCUAAAAAUCUGUUUAUGAAAUGUUAGGUCCUUGCAUGACUUGUCUUUGACAACGGAGACUGCAGUAAGGGGAUUCAUGUAUACCACAUCAAAACCAAAUUCACAUGCUGGCAAUUCGAUAUGCUCUUCAUCUGAGGGAGAUCUUGUUAUGGUUUGAUACUGGAAUCCGAUCUGUUAUAUCAGUUGCUUGUGGAUGAUUUUAGAGAAAUUUUAAUCAAUAUUUUCAUCCUUGCACAGGUGAACAGUGAUCAGGAAAUCUUUCUCUUCUCUCUUUCACUCCAGAAGCAAAGCUUUAGGUAAAUGUAUUUUUGAAAACUAUAAUGAUAUGAUUGACUAGUUCCUAUCUUAAUUUGUCAAGUACUUCUGGGCCAUAGUUUUCUUACUUCACAGCGUCUUUCCUCAUUCAAGGCUUUUAGACUCUUUCAACUUGACGUACCAGAAAGAUCUGAUGGUUUCACAAGAAGAGCUUACAUCAGGACGCGUCAUUCAAAAGGAAAAGAAAAAGGUAUUAUGCAUGUUCAUGAUGAUCACAUUAUAUUCAUCUACAACCUAUUUGCUAGGGAAUGAAAAACUGCACUAGUAUCUAAAUUUAUUUUCUUAGCAGGGUAUGUUUAGUUCUGUUCUUAAAGAUAUUGUGGGAAGUAAAGGGAAGAAUGUCCCUGAGAUGGAACAUGAAGAUACUAAAGAAAGUAUUGAAGAACUUUCAACAAUCUUUUCGACUGCUAAUUUCCAAUUUGAUGCGGAGCACACAGACAACCAGGCCAUGAUUGAAGACGAUGAUCAGUUAGACAUAGGUAUUCUAACUUACAAGUGUUUAUCAUUUCAAUGUGAACGGAGUUCUAAGAUGAUCCAAGUUUACAAAGAACCAACUCUUUUGUCUUUUUUUUUGAAGAUGAUAUCGAGAUUGACAUUCCUGGAGAGAAACCGAAAGAGCAGAAUAUGUUGGGAGCACUUAAUAAGGAAAAAUUGGCAAGCAAGUUUAUGGCCUUUAAAGGUCAGUUCAAACCAUCUAUAUCAAUAUGGAGUCAUCAGUUGGAUGGCUUGAAAGUGUCUUACUUAACUUUUUUCCAAUCACAGGUAAAGUAAUGAAACAAAUGAAGACUAAGAGUGAGAAGAACCCCCCAAAGGAAGAACCACAGGAUGAGAAGGUUGGCUCUGUUGAUGAAAUCAAGAGGAGAUACGGAUUUUCGUCUGCUGUAAGAACAAUAUACAUACACAUAUCUUUAUGAAUUGCACAUCCUCUUACUACUUAGAUUAGCCAAGGAAGAAUAUUCGAAUGUUUUAUUAACCGCAUCAUUUGUUUUUGGCUGCAGGAAACAAAUGUAGCUAAAAUAGCACAAAGUAAGCUCCAGGAGAAUAUAAGUAAGUUACAGGGGAUAAAUCUGAGAACUACAGAGAUGCAAGACACAGCUAAAUCAUUUUCAUCCUUGGCAAACCAAGUGUUACGAACUGAACAGGACAGACGAGCCUCUUAAUCACCACAAAAGUAUCGUUUGGCUUUCAAAUUAUACAAGUCUUAUUGAUUUCAUUUGUUUUUCUGGUAUGAUUCUUUUGCAUAUAGUGAAUGUACAACAUUGGAAAGAAUUGCUCACAGAACUGAUAUAUAUUCAAAUUUUCAGAUCAAAAUGGUUUAUACAAUGUUCUUGUUUUUCUGGUAUGAUUCUUUUGCAUAUAGUGAAUGUACAACAUUGGAAAGAAUUGCUCACAGAACUGAUAUAUAUUCAAAUUUUUAGAUCAAAAUGGUUUAUACAAUGUUCUUAUUUUUCACCAAAGGUUUUCAACUGUCGAUUAAUAAUUUAAACUUAAUUCAAGUUAAAGGAACUCAAAAAUCAUAAUACAAAUCUUUUUUAUGAUUUCUUAAAGCAAGAACAAUAAACUCUGAAUAAAAAAAAUGAUCAUGGAACUGUACAUCCUCAAAAUAUACUAGCCAGUACAAAAACCCAGAAUAGCCAUCCUUCCCACACUUGAAACCAGACAGAGAUUAAAUAACAAUGAACUAUCUAUAAGAAGACAUCAGUACCAAACUACUAACUACAUGUAUAUCAAUAAUUUAAAUUAUGAAUUGCAAGCUCAAGAGCAGCAGUGUCUAAUCAUUCAGUUACUAGCUAGAUCAAUGGGGGUGAACGGAAGAUGUUAGUGCCGGCUUCCAGUGGCGAAGCGGUCCCAACAUCCAAGUGAAACACACCAAUUUUACUAAAGAUAGUCUUACCACGCCAAACUUCAUAAGAAAAUAAAACACAAUUUCCUUGGCAUCCUGGGAAGUCUCUACUGGAGACUGAGAAGCAGCAAUCUUCCCCCACAACCAACAUUCGAUCAUCCAAAUCUGAACCCUCCAUCUCAAUCCAUUGCUUCCAAUUUCCAUCCAACUUGUAAACCUUGAACUUGACUUCCUUCGUGAGCAUGUCCUCCUCUGAAUGACCUUUCGCAACAAAAGUAGACCCAUGCCUUUCGACUAAAAGAAGCUCCCGGAGCGAUUCAACCAAGUACUUCUUCUUCUUCUUAUCCCACAUUGAAAUAGGUACUGGAAACGCAAUCACUUCCCACUUAAAGGAAGAAUCCAUCGCUGCAGCUUUCCCAGACUGAGACACUACACAGAACUUCCCUUUAUAGAAAAUAACAUCAUCAUAUUUAUCAGAAUUACUCAUUUUUCCACAUGAUGGAUCAUUACCAUCAUCCUCAUCAGGAUUUACCCGAGUGAGUUGGACGCAACGUUGUUUAACUUUAACACCACGAUAAGACCACUUUCCGAGGUAUAAAACUCCAUCCCUAACCAACAUGACUGCAGGGAAGAACUCGACGUAUAAGGAAACAGCUAGCUUGAGAUAGUUCUUAUCUUGGUUACUUGCUAAGAGAUAGGGUCUUGCCACUUCACGUACGCCAAAGUCUAGUGAGUUAAUCAUCACCCUUGGGUUUUCCAAACCUCCAUCACGCCAUGAUAAUAGAGGAAGUAACUUUUGGUUUGUAUCCAAUCGCAUUAACCAGCCUUGUUUCCUUUCAUCAUUGUGAUGAGGAGGAGGAUAAGGUGCAAUAUGAUAGACUAUGCUACGCUGGAUGGUGUAAAGAGACUCUGUAGGUAGAUGUAUUCCAAAUCUGGAGGGCAAUAGAGGAUGAUCUUGAGGUGGUGGCUUGAGUGGAUUGAAUGAAGGAAUAAAAGAUCUCCAUGAUUUAGAGACGGCACGGAACUGAGCAACAUGCAUUCGGGUUUUAGGGUCAAGGUACUCUCUAAUCAUCUCUAUCAAUUCGUCUGGGAGACCUCUAUCCGCCAUUGCUCGUGACCAAGAUUGAUGCCUAGGGUUUCGGUAUGAAGGAGGUUUAUACCUAAUGUUAAUUUGCCACUAUAUAUGAAGUUUUCUAUUUACGAUUUGCUACCUUAGGUUAUUUGCUAAAUCUAGGGUUUUAAAAUUAACCAAUUAAAUUUCGUAAAGUUUCAAAAUUAUCUAUUUGGUAACUUAGAUUCUCAAAAUUAACCCAUGAUCGAAUGGACUCAAUGUAGAGUUUAAUGUCUUGCGCAACAAGUAACAUUGCACAGGGAAGGCAUGUGAAUAAAGAACCAAAUUUGCACCAUGUUCAUACAGCAUACGAAUAAAUAGGAACCGAAACUGCAAUUGAUGCAUUAAGCUCAAGUUCUAUGUAACCAUGUCAAACAACGAAUAAUAUACGAGAUUCAACUGAUCGAUACACGAAUAACCAUAACAGAACAUGGAAUUUUUAAGCAACUUGAUGGAAAGCCUUUAAUGUGACGUUCUCAAUCAACUAAACUAACUCUCAGAAAGAGAUUAGCACUCUCUGGAUCCCUCAAUGUCCUUCAACCCCUUCUACCAUAUAAUUUGAACACUCCGAUUUGAUACUCGGACACUAUUUGCUGUUCCACUCGCAAGGAAGACAAAAGACACUCCCUCGGCAUCCUGGGAAGUCUUGAUUGAAUCGACUUGAUCAUUCGAAUCUGAAGCAUACAUCUCAACUCAUUCCUUCCUAGUUUCAUCCAACGUGUAAAGUGUAAACCUUAAAUUUAGCUUCAGCAUUGAGCAUAUCCCCCAGAUCAUACCCCUCUCUCUUCAGUAUCUACCUUAAAGCAGCUCCCUGGAUGCUUCGACCAAAUUCUUCUUGUCCUCCACAUUCAGCAGCACGCAAAAUGGAUACCAUUUAUUCAUCUAACUAUGCAACUAUAACUAUAACUAUAACUAUAAGCUUUGUGUAUAGUUGGGAUGAUAAAAAUAACUGCAACUAUAACUAUUCAUCUAACGAAGUGAUAUAUAUUUUUUCAAGUUUUCAGAUCAAAAUGAAAGUAAAAACAAUAAAUUCUGAAAAAGAAAAAUUGAUCAUGGAACUGUAAAUCUAAAUCCUCAAAUUUACUAGCCAGUACUAAUUAAGCCAGGACACCCUGAAUAGCCACCCUUCCCACACUUAACCCAGCAAGAAUUAUACAACAAUGAAUUAUAAGAAGACAUCAGUACCAAACUACAAAUUACAAACUACAUACAUAUCAAUUAUUUAGAAUAGGAUUAAUUUCAGUCUACACCCCUGAGGUUUAGAGUUAAUAUCAUUUCACUCCCCAUAUUUUUAAUUUUGCAAAUUUACCCCUUAAAGUUUUCAAAUUUCAUAAAUCAUGCCAAAUUGCUGAAAUUUUGUUUAAUUUGGAUGUUAAUUUUGACUUCAUAACUCACUAAAAGAGCCAAAAUAGUCUUAUAACAACAUAAAUCGCCUAUUAUGAUUUUUUUUUUUUUAAGAUUUCAUGUUAUCAUUUAACCUCUAAAUUGGACGGAAUUUUAACAAUUGUGUCUGAAUUAUAAAAAUUUGAGACUUUAAGGGGUAAAUUUUAAAAAUUAAAAAUUAAAAAUAUGGGGAAUGAAACGAUGUUAAUCCAAAGGGGUAAACUGAAAUUAAUCUUUUAGAAUAUCAACCUCAAGAGUAGCAUUGUCUAAUCAUUCAGUUGCUAGCUCUAUGGGGGUGGCAGAAAGAUUUUAGCGCCGGCUUCCAGUGGUGACGCACUCCCAUCAUCCAAGUGAAACACACCAAUUUUACUAAAGAUAGUCUUAGCACGCCAAACUUCAUAAGAAAAAUAAACAAAAUUUCCUUGGCAUCCUGGGAAGUCUCUACUGGAGACUGAGAAGCAGCAAUCUUCCCCCACACACAAUAUUCGACCAUCCAAAUCCGAACCCUCCAUCUCAACCCAUUGCUUCCUAUAUGCAUCCAACUUGUAAACCUUGAACUUGAUUUCCUUCCUGAGCAUGUCCUCCUCUGAACAACAACUUGCAACAUAAGUAGACCCAUGUCUUUCAACUAAAAGCAGCUCCCCGAGCGAUUCAACCAAGAACUUCUUCUUCCACAACAUUGAAGUAGAUACUGGAGAAGCAAUCACUUCCCACUUAAAAGAAGAAUCCAUCGCUGCAGCUUUCCCAGACUUAGACACUACACAGAAUUUCCCCCGAUAGAAAAUAACAUCAUCAUACUUUUCCGCAUUCCUUAUAUUUCUACAUGAGGGAUUAUCAUCAGGAUUUACCCGAGUGAGUUCGAUGGAACCUUGACAAGACAACUUUCCAAGGAAUAUAGCUCCACACGUAACCAACAUGACUGCAGGGAAGAACUCGAAAUAUAAGGAAACAGCUAGCUUGUGAUACUUGUCGUUGUCGUACAUACUUACUAAGAGAUAGGGUUUAGCCACUUCUAGUACGCCAAAGUCUACUGAGUUCAUCAUCACCCUUUUUGGCUUUUCCAAACCACUAUCACGCCAUGAUAAUGGAGGAAGUAACUUUUGGUUUGUAUCCAUUCGCAUCAACCAGCCUCGUUUCCUUUCAUCUUUGUGAUGAGGAGGAGGAUAAGGUGCAAUAUGAUAGAUUAUGCUACGCUGGAUGGUGUAAGGAAAAUCAGAUAGGGGGAAGAAUAUGGCAAAUGUGGAGGGCAAUAGAUCUAGAGGGUGAUCUUGAGGUGGUGGCUCGAGUGGAUUGAAUGAAGGAAUAGAAGAUCGCCAUGAUUGAGAGACGGCACGGAACUGAGCAACAUGCAUUCGGGUUUUAAGGUCAAGGUGCUCUCUGAUCCUCUCAAUCAACUCGUCUGGGAGAUCUCUAUCCGCCAUUCCUGGUGGCCUUGGUGAAGAUUGAUGCCUAGGGUUUCGGUAUGAAGGAGGACAUACAAAAUUAGGUAUAAACCUGUUGUAUACAUUAGGUUUAUAAACCUAAAUGUUAAUUUGCCACUAUGAGGUUUUGUUUUUUACGAUUUACUAAGAGGUUAUUGCUAAUCUAUUUGGACUCAAUGGAGAGUUUAACUACAAGUCUUGCGCACCAAGUAACAUUGCACAGGGAAGGCAUGUGAAUAAAGAACCAAAUUCGCACCAUGUUCAUACAGCAUACGAAAAAAGAGGGACCAAAACUGUAACUGAUGCGUUAAACUCAAGUUAUAUGUACUUAACCAUGUCAAACAACGAAUAAUUCAUGUCGAAAGCAACUCGAAAGCCUUCAAGGUGAUGUUCUCAACCAACUAAACUAAUUCUCCUGACGAUCUUCAAUGCCCUUCUGCCAUCUAACUAGAACACUGAUUUCAAUAGAGAUACUCGAACACUAUUUUCCGUCACACUCGCGAGGAAGAACAAAAGACCUCGGCAUUCUUGAGUGAAAGCAUACAUCUCAACUCAUCCCUUCCUAGUCUCAUCCCAACUUGUAAACCUUAUCUCCCACAGAUCAUACCCUCUCUCUCACAGCUAAAAGCAGCUUCCAGGAUGAUUUGACCACAUUCAGCAGCACACAUAUUUGAUACCAUUUAUUCAUCUAACUAAGCGAGAUUCUGCCCAGUGUGUAUAGUUGGGAUGAUAGAAAUAACUGCAACUAUUGUUCCCAUGCUCAAUUCCCGGGAAAUCUUGAGCAGAAGGAAAGAUGCAGCCUGCAUCCGAAUCUAUUAUCAAUAUUCGACCAUCGAAACCGUCCUCCAUCUCAACCCAGCACUUCUCAAGUACAUUCAACUUGAAAACUAUGUAGUUAAGGUGAAUCUGUUUAAUAACCAAAAAAAUUUCUCCAGCUGAUUCCACCAAAUACUUCCUGUGACCUGACAUCCGAGUCUUCACAAGUAUAUCCAUCACCUGCAAAGAACACGAAUCCAGCACUAGUAUGGUCGCAUCCCUGGAAACAGCAUAAAAUUUUUCCUCAUAGUAAAUAACAUCUUCCAGCCGGAUGAAUUCUGAUAGACCUUCCACUGGUUUUAACAUUGGAAUGGGAUCAUCACCUAUGUUACAGUAGUAUAAGACUCCAUUGACAAUGACCAUAAGUACAGGACAACUAGGAUUGAAGGACACAGCCACUCUAUAAUCACGACCAGUCUCACUGAUAUCUUUUAGACUAUAAGCUUCUGCCAAUUCGACUACCCGAACAUCUUCAUCCAACAAGUUCAAUGCCUCUGGGAAUGUCUCAGGGAACUGCUCACACGAGAACGGGCAUCGAAACAGUGGAUCUAGCCUACGAACAAUUUCAUCUGAUUCAUUUAGUUUGACAGUAACAAUCCAAGUACCUGAACUGUGGGUAACAUGAUAGAUGACCCCCUUGGUGAGGGUCAUAAUCUUAGGCCAGUUUCCAUUACUAUCAGAAUGCUUGGGGAGUUGUAUUGGACCUCUGAUGGGAGAAAGGAGCUGCUGCCUACUUUUUGUAAAGGGAGAAACAGAGGAACGCCAUGACUGACAAACAGCACGGAAUCGAGAAACAUCGUUGGUGAAGUUGAGGCACUUUCCAACUAUCUCUAACAAUUCAACUGAAAGAUCACUAGCCAUUGAAUAUCUUCUUUUUCUUUUCUUUUUUCUGGGGAUUGAAUCAAAGGAGAAGGUUUACUGUGAUCGAUAGUCUUGGUGAAACACAGUGGGACUCAGCUUUCUAAUGAAGCUUAUAUAUUCCUAUAAGGAAAAGUAUACAUUAAAAGGGCGACUGUUAAUGUAUCUUAAUCAUUAAGGAAUAUUCACAAUCUAAGCCAACUGUCCAAUCAAUCUUAAUCAAUGAAUGGAUGUGUAUUUAUCCAUAUAUAUGAACGUAUAAGGAAAAGUAUACAUUAUCACUCCCUCACCCUACUAUCUGAUGAGCUGCUCUGAUUUCUUAUUUAGGAAUGAUACUCUCGUUUUCCUUUUUCUUAUUAAGACAUGAUUUCUUUCCAAAUUCACAUUGUCCCAACUCCACUAAGUUGAAUUCCGCAUUUGGAAGUAAUGUAUGGUUCACUGUACCCAAAUGAUCAUAAACAUUUUUUACCAAUACGAGUAAGAUCUUCGGAUAUCAUGCCUAUGACUUGAAUCUAAGAUCCAAGAAACAUAACAAAUGAAAAUACAGUUGAAACUCAGUAACAGAAAAGCACUAUCGAGUACAAAAAUGCUUGCUUCAAGCCUACUAAAUGCAUUUAGCAUCCAUCAAGUGUAACCAACAAAACAAAAAGACUUUAAGACCUGAUACUAGAGGUGGAAACAACAAGGACCAGUCCAACAACUAUUAUUUUCUCAGUAAGUCUACCAAUUGGGAGUAUAUCAGUUCUUUAGUGGCAUCUCGGUUACUUUGGCUCAGUGUAAAAAUUGUUGCACCCGGAUGAUUCUUUAACCUUGCAACUGCACAAGUUCAGACACUCUACUCAUAUUCAUAUACAAAUACACCAAAACAGAUAGCUCUUUUCCCCUACAUUACUACUUCAAACAGAAACAACUACAGUCAAGAAACAUUUUAGAAAAUCAUCAAAACUGAAACAAAUGUGCAAUGUAUAUAUAAAACAUUGCACAAGGAUUCGCCUUUCUAUAAUGCAUUUCCCCUUUCAAUUACCCCACAAGAAAAUCAAGGAUUUGCAUACCCUAUAAUGUAAAGCACUAAAGCGCAUGAGUUGAGGGAAAAGUACCUGCAGGUAUAUCACGGCCAACUUUUGGAACUGGAACUGACGCCAAGACCGGAAUAUUGGAUUCCAGCACUCUUAAGACGGAAGGGAAGAAAGAUGAACUGAACAACUCCAUCUUACCAACUUCAUCGAUGACAAACAGGUCAGUAUCUUCUCUUACCUGAUAACAAUCAAAUCCUUUAACUUCACUAACAUUCAAAGACAUUCUCACAAGCAAAGACCACUAAAACAACGGCCAUCUAAAGCCGUAAAUAAGAUCAUUUUCAACUAAAUUUUCAACAAUUAGCAGCAUGAAACCAUAUUCCCACCUGCAAUUCAGGAACUGCCAGGGACUCGAACGACGCAACAUCAACUUUGAACUUCCCGACAGUGGGCCAUCUCAGCGAUUCUAAGCUGAAAUAUAUAGCAUUACUGAUGCGUUAAGCUCUAAUUCCAACAUUGUUUAGGACAAUCAAGAAUUGUAAAGUUCGGGAAAGACCUGGAAAUGGUGGAGGAAGCAAGCGGAGCGGUACGGCCGUCUAACGUGACCACCUGGAAGCCAACGCGAUCACCUCCUUGUCUAACCUCACCUACAUUUGAAAUUAAUAAAGACAAAACUGACAUUGUAAACAUCGAACUCCAGAGUUGGGUGAAUAUGAAAGCAGAUCGAGUGAUUGAGAUUGAGAGUGAGAGAGGAUUACUGGUGUAGAAACCCUGAAUCUUUAAGUUGGGGUAUGAUGAUUUUAGGGUUUCAAAGACUUUGACUAUUAGAGUGGUUUUACCCACACCCUGCAUCAGAUUUACUGAUUUAGAAUCUGUAAAUUGAAAGUUUAUACAGAGACAAAAUGGUGGCGAACUUACAGGAGGUCCAGUCACCAGCAAGCAUUUUCCGGCACCUGCCAUUUCUCUACCUCCGUCUCUCUUACAUCGGAUUUAUACAGUUCAGUUGGCUUAUAAGAUCAAGCUCAAACGAUGUCGUUUCGGAUGCUCUACGGGUCAAAGCCCAACUAGACUCAAAGGCCCAAGUUCUGAGCUUCGGUUCUCUAGAACAGAGUUGGGAGGAGUACUUGCUCUAAUGGUGAAGUGUAAAGGUUUUCCCACAAGAUUGGGGUAUCCUAGUAUCCUACAGAUUCAAUAUGAUUUGACAAUACAAUGCGAUGAGGGUGGUUUAUGUCAAUCUUUCCGAAUUCAAACACGAGAAAACGAUGCAAGAGUAGAGAUGGUACAAAAGUAGUACUCCUCUACGAAGAUGAAGAUUGUCCUGCUCGGCUUGUUCUUUCUCAUACCAUCCGCUAGCUCAGGUAAGAAACUCUUAUCAGGAACCGGACAAUGGAUUCAAGAUCAAGGAGAGACCAGAGAUGAGGGAGAGUUGGAAUUGUUUAACCAGUGGGGUUGGCUUUGGAGGGAAGCACAAACAUUUGGUAAAACUCAAAAGAUCACAAAAGCAUAUUGUUAUGUCAUUCCCGCUUGCACCCAAUCAAAACUGAACAAUUCCACAGAAGAAUCCUUAGCAGACCACUUGACAAAAUAGAAUAUGGAAAAAACUAUCAAAUCUCACUGACAGAAUGGGUCAGGAAACAGAUUCCCAACAACAGAGAAGAAUCCCAACCCAAUUGGAAUGGGAAUGGAAGUCAAACGCUACUGAAACUUUCAAGUCAUCACAAGCAUAUCAUUGCGAAUUUGAACCAAACCAGACAGACAACAACCAAAUGCAUAAGAAAAGUGAUGAACCAUUAUAUAAUCAAGCAAGCUGAAUACCAUUAAACAUUAAAAGGAUCAUUAAGUACAGAAAGAUAUGGGAUAUAAGGUAGCAGAAGCCCCUGUUGAUAAUCCCUUGGUUUUUGUUUUUCCUACUCUACUCCUAUUUUCCAUGAGACAAAGCUUAAAUCAGAGACAAUGCAGGUCAUUAACUAAGCAACCCUACACAUAUUGCUUCCUUCUCUCCUCCAUUUGUCAUAUUUCUCUACUCAUCAUCGUCCUCAUCCUGCACAAUGAAUCAAAAUCAAAAUCAGUCAUUAACAGCUUAUCUAGUUAACUACAACCCAGGAAACCCAACUACAUGUUUCAAAACAAAAUACAAACCUCGCCAGCGCUCUCAUCAUCAUCCUCAUCCUCAUCAUUCACCUCUGACUUGGACUUGUCAGACUCCUCUUCCUCAACUCCAUUAUCUCCAUCAGCCUAUUGUACACAAUUAAACAACAAAUGUCAGAGACCCGAAUCAUAAAUUACAUGAAAACCCGAGACUAACAAUUCAAACAGAAACGCGUACUUGUUUCUUGUUGUAAACAUCCAUGUUCUUGUUGUAUUCAACCUUCCUCUUCUCAGCCUUAGCCUGGUAAGGUGCUUUCUCCUGUAUAAUUUUUACCAAAAAGCAACCAUCAAUAAACUAUCCGAGAAUAUUCCACCAAGUAACAAAUUAUUAACAAAAGAUAAGCCCAGAAACUCACAGCAUCAGACAACGAUUUCCAUUUCUCACCACCAGCUUUACCAACCUGUUCAAAUACACCAAUUAAAAUCAUUCAAAAUUUCAGCAUAAAAAAUCAUAGCAAAACGAAUCGAAUUGAAAGAAUUGGAGCAUGUAGAUCUGGUAAAUUAGAUUCACUUACAGCGGCGACCGAUUUGUUGUUGGGAUGCUCCUUCUUGUACUUCUCCCUAAACUCCUCCCUAUUCAAACAAAAAGUCAGCAAAAUUAAUUAUCACCAAACAAACAAACAAACAAAAACGAAAAAUCACAGAUCUAAAAAGUUCAGAGGAGAGAGAAAAAGCGUUGACCGUACAUGAAAACGAAGAAGGCACUGGCAGGCCUCUUUGGCUUGUUCGGAUCCUUCCCAGCCUUCUUCGCCGCCUUGCUCGCCCCUGCGCUUUUCGUCUUUAACCUAAAACCAAAAUCCACAAACAAAAAUCAAAAUCAAAAUCCAAUCCUAACCGAAGCACGAUCCAGAUCUAAUCGCUCAAUUCCGACUAAUUUCACAGCGAAUUAAAGCUGAAACUCACUUGGUAUCGGACCGCUUCGGCGCCGCGGCUCUGGAUUUCCCACCUUUCAUAGCUGAACCUGUCAAAAAAACACACGGAAUCGGUGAGAAUCGUUCAGAAUCGGUGAGAAUCGUUCGGAACCGGACUGAAUUGAGCCGGAAUCGGGUGACUCGGCGGCGAGUUUACCUAGGGUUUUCGAAGAAGAUAAGGGAGAGAAAGAGAGAGGAAAUAUGAUAUAGAGGGCCGGGAGGCUUUGUUUGUUUGGUGCGGUGCGUUUGUGUGUGUGAGAAAUAGAGGCAGAGGAUAAGAAGGGGCCUCUAGAAAAUAUAAGAGGGGCUAAAAUUAAAUUUCGCUACACGAAAAAAUUGAAGUCCGGGUUUAGGCGGGAUUUCAAAACUCUUUUCGCCACGUCAGCGAUCCGCGCGGUUUUGAAAGUCGUGUUGUGAUUGGGUGGGGGGUGUGUUUCCUGGUGUGUUAGUUUGGGAAGGAGGUGGGACACGUGGAGAUGCGGGCGAAUAUGUGCUUGGUGGCACGUGGGGGAAUGGGUGGAAUGACGGAAAUGGGGCUGGGAUUUUUGUUGGGCGGUUUUGGAGGGGUGGUUGUGGGUGAUCAAAGCAUCCAGAAUAAAAUGCGCUGCACGCCACUGCUGGAUGGGAUAUUAUUGAUGAGGGGUAUAUGGGUAAAUUUGUGAGGUUGAUAUUUUUGUCUUUUUGGGUUUGGGCCAAAAUUUGAAUUGGGCUGUUUGAUUGGAGGAGCGGUGUUCAAUUGACCUAGAGUGAAGGAAGAGAUAAUAAUAUGUUUCAUAUUGUAAUGUGACCUUAGGUAAUGGGUGAUAAAGGGUAAUGAGUUCAAUCUUGUGCAACUAUUAGCUACUCCAACGUUUUAUAGGUGCAGAGAUUCAUGUGUGUCGUCAAGUAUAAAUUGAGAUUUAACUUCAAUCAACGUCUGUAGAAUUCGACCUUAAGUAUGAAAGUUCUACAUCUAAAACUUCUACUAACUCGACUACUUGUGAUGGUUAUGUGAAUGUUGAGUUUAUUGUUUUGAGACAUUGGUUUUAUCAAUGGGGAGGAGUUUAUUUGAACUCAUGAUUUCUAUUUUCCCCACUAAAUACUAGUUAACGGUUUUAUGAAAACAUAAGGAUUGAGUUAGAACCUUUUUAGUUAUCGAACUCUCUACUUUUAUUUCUUUCACGAAAUCGCGUGCUACUUUGGUGCAUAACUCAAAUAUGAUAGAUGGUGCAUAACUCAAAAAUGAUAAAUUGUGCAUUGAUUCAAAUUACUUAAUUACUCAUCAUAUACUACAUGGUAUACCAAUUUGAUUGAUGAGUUCAACUUCAACUAAAGUGUCUCUUAUUCCACACUAUAAUUUCAUGUCAUACCAGAUAUUGAAGACCUUGCAAAAAUGCGCUUAUAACAACUUGAAUCUCCCAAAAAAUCACUAUUUUAGUUUGAAUCUACAACCCACGCUAACGCAUUUGCAAGAGACUUAGUAAGACACGCAACAUUGUUUUGGUAACAAAUGUUUAUUCGUUCGAUUAGUGUUCGCGACGUUUUCACUUCAAAUAAAGUACUAUACGUCUAAUCGUACUUGUUAAAAGUUAAUAACUAAGGAUGGUUUUAUCAACACCCUUAGUAUGAGGGUAAGAGCUCAACAUUCAAAUAAUGAGUAUCUAAAUACGAAUUUAGGUUGACACAAACCAAAAAGGAUACAUAUCCAAUUUUGUUCAUCUUGGGUUUGGAUAAUUUACAGGCCCAACUAUAAACCAAAAAGAAGAGCACCGAACACGUCUGUGUUCAUAAACGGUGGCCGUGCUAGAAUCCACGGUCGAGGUAAUGGAAACCCUAUCAGAGCACCGAAUCUCGGCCGCAGCUCCCGCCGUCUUCAUAAUCGUCGUCGCUUUCCAGUUCCUCUCCAAGUGGCUCGAACAGUCAAAGAAGGUACACCCACAACUCUACCCCUACCGCAUAGAUUUCAAAUUCGAUGCUUGAAUUCUUCAAUUGGAUCGGUUGUCAUGUUUUCUGAUAGCUCAAUUCUGACUGAGAUUGGGUUCUUUUGUUGUUCUCAGCGAGGACCAGUGACUGCUGAGGAGACUCGGUUGCGAAGAGAGAUCAAACAGCUUUCCAAAGAGGCAAGCUCCUUGUCACAGUGAGUAGUUUGUUAAUUUCAAGUCUAUGUUUUCUCAAUCUUGCACAGCAUUAUGGUUUCGGCUUUAAUUGCGGAUCAGUUGAUCUUGUUAGCUUCUUUAAUGAGUUAAGAACAUGUAUGAAACUUGAGCAGACGGUAUCGAUUAGAGGUUCACAGACGGUAUCUUAUUUUCUACUAUUAGUGUCGUUGUAGAAAUGUAACAGCAUUUUGGUAGGACGAAUAGUGAAUUAGAAAGUUGAAAGAGCGUACAUUUUGCAGUUGUAUGAUUUUAGUUUUUGUUGAAUGCUUAUUUUCUUGAGCAGACGGUAUCGAUUAGAGGUUCACAGACGGUAUCUUAUUUUCUACUAUUAGUGUCGUUGUAGAAAUGUAACAGCAUUUUGGUAGGAUGAAUAGUGAAUUAGAAAGUUGAAAGAGCGUACAUUUUGCAGUUGUAUGAUUUUAGUUUUUGUUGAAUGCAGACCAGCAACAUUUGCACAAGCUGCAAAGCUUAGGAGGAUGGCGACUGCGAAGGAGAAAGAACUUGCUAAGCGUACUAUAUGCAAACUCAGCCAUUCAUUUAUGUUUAUAUGUUUGUUGCCCUGUUAUGGGUGGAUAGAUUCUGACAGUUUUGCCUGACUUCCAGAUCAAGAGUUACAGGGCAAGGAGUUAAAAGGUUCAUAUAAUUUGUAUCUGAAUGUUUUGUUCAUCUCCAAGGUAAUGCUGGAUCUAUUAAAAUAUCAAGUAUUCUUUUUGCCUUCCCUGAGUUAAGGUUCUGACAGCUACAAUAAUCACCGUUUAGGUCUUGACAUAUCUUGUGCUGGUUUGCUGGUUUUGGAGGGUUCCGGUUGCCUCCAUAUCACAACAACUUGUUCAACCCUUCGGUAAUACAUUCUUCUUCCAAAUUUACUUAUCAAGUCGUGUAGAUCUUUCUACCAGUUUGGCUAUUCACAAGUAUUUCUCUUUGUUCUUCUCUUUAAAAUAAUUUGACAUCUGAGUUCUCCUCACUACCAUGCAUAUCUGCUCCUCCUAAGCGUAUGACUUUGCAUAAUUACUAAUCUAUCAACAAAAGAGAGAAAAGGAGACACGCUUCUGAAGCACAGAUCAAGUAGGAUGCAGAUUAUAAGUGAUAGUAACAUAAAUAAUCGAGUGUACUCAUGAUUAUAUAUUUUUGCUUUUCAGGAAAGGUGAUAUCAUGGAGGGCUGGAGGAGUAUUAAACGGAAAUGUUAUGGUAAAUAAGAUUGGACCGUACUUUUUUGUUCUUGCUGUAGUAUACUUUUCUUGGGAGAAUUGUUACAGUUGCCUUUGUGUAUCGAGCAGCUAAAUGAUCUUACUAGUGUCACUUCUUUUAGCUUAUCUUUUAGUGCCUUCUUGUAUCUUUCAUAUAAGCUAACAGUACCUAGUCAUCUAUCUUUUAUAUUCAUGUGGCUAUGUUGUCAUAGGUUGUAAACAUGGAAGUCUCAUGGCAACAAGUUACUGUUAGCUUUAUUUGUGUUUGAACAAGCACACUCAUUAAGUCAGAAAGAAAAGAGUAUGGGUCUGUUUGCUGCGCAAGGUUAGAUUGGAUAUGCAACUGAAUGAACUUAUAGUUUAAAGAAAGAAAGAAAGCCCAGCAUCCACCUUUUGUGAAAGUUAAAGGAAGACGAUAAGUGACUUCAUUGAGGAAACUUAUCCUUUUCAGUUCUUACAAAAUGGUUGGACAUGUACUGCUUAGAAUUAAUCCAUCUACUCACUAACUUAACGUUUAUUUUUUUCAUUCAAGUCGGUGAAGUCACCUUGAAUUGAAUGGUUAUACAUAUCCGAUCCAAUCCUAGAUACUGAAACAGGCCCCAAGUUCUUUCAAAUUGCAUGGGAUAGGAAGCAUCUGAUGGUUUUGAACAUUUUUUUCUGAUUUUUUUCCUUGUUCGAUUGCAGGUGGGAAUUAUUCCUUGGUUGAUAUUGUCUACACGGGUUAGCAAAUUUGUUUGUCGACUUUUCAAACUGUAGAAUUUAUGUGAGUUCUGUCCCAAAUUGUCAUAAUGACGGAAAAUGAUGACGUUUUGAUUAGGAUUGUUUGACAAGGUUUACACAAGAGCUUAGGAUUACCUACUGAUCAUAUAGUUUUGUACUGUUUCUCUAUGUAAAUUGGGUUUAUUGUGCCAUGUGGAGAAAUCACUUAUUGUAAAACCCCAUUCUCCGUAUUGGAUUUCCAAACUCCAGUCAAAGUUUGUGAUGUCUUCUGUGAUCUGUACAAUCCCCUUCUGUAGUUUGUUAUGAUGGGAUGCUUUCACACAUCUAUUGAUAUUUGAGAAACUUAUCAUCAACUUCGGUCAGCUUUGCUGCUGAGUUGUAUUUUUCCUUUGUUAGCAUCGUAAAUAAGCAAAUGUAGGAUAUGGCUACUUCUUGAAACAGAUGACUCCAAUUUGAAAUUGGUGCAGCAAAUUAUUCUCCCCACACAAGUUCUUAGACAUAUACGAAGAAUUUGAAUCAAGGUAAAACACAAGAAGAAAACGUGGAAGGCAAAGAAGUAAAAGAACACAAGAACACGUCCUAAUGAACACUUAUCACCCAAUAUUGCUUUGUGCCGGUAUGGAAUGCGGCUAGCAUUAUUGUACAGGGCGUGGGCUGGUCUUGCUGUGAAAGAUAUGGUUGCAGGCAGCAGCAAUGCUGCUGCAGCAUCCCGAACCACUUCCCAGUUUCCACACAAUCGACCACCGGAAGACUCCACAAUAUUCAUGGAGCAAGGGCACCGCUACAAGCCGCUUUGUUCACACUUGGAUGUAUUCGACCACAGAAGUGGACUUCUGUUCGAACUUUAGACCUCAAACAGUUAAACGGAGCAAGUAAAUUGGCUAGCAAAAGGUGAGGACAACCAGGAAUAAAAGAAUGGAGGAAACGUUGAAUGUUCUAUUCAGUAUAGGAAAGUAUCCCGACUACUAAACACACUGGUAUAAGCAACAGAAAGAUCAUGGAAAAACUAUUUCGUAAUACGGUCCACAAGACGGCAAUGAAUACAAGCAACAUACCAAGCAGGGAAUUGAUAGAUAAAAUUGAUAAAUAUAUCAAUCUUGGAGAGAGAAUUAACUAAAACUUAGCUAAUUAAUGUAUACAGUUUAGCAAUACUGUUGAAGCAAAAGUUUAAAUAUUGUUAUUUUAAAUUUAGAUAUUGACAAAUUUAACAACAAAUUUAGGGAUGUGAAAUCCAUACUCACUUUCUAUUUUUAGCAACUUAAAUUUUGUCUAAUAAUGACUUAAAUUUUGUCUUUAUAUGAGUAUGUAAAUUUAAUUAUAUUGCUGGGGAUGCUUAAUGAUCUUUCAUGGAGAUCGUAAGAUCGGAUUAAAGGAUCAAAGAUUUCUAGGUACAUUAUUUGUUGUAAAUGAAAGCUACAUAAAGACAAAAAAACAACAAGUUGUUUGAGCUAGACCUCCCUCAUCAAAUGGAGAGGGAGGUCAUAGUAACAGUAACAAUAUAAUUCCCACAAUAAUAGUAACAAGAACCGCAGCGAUCUUGAUUGCUUUCCCGAUUUUUUCAGACUUCAAUCUAUGCUGUAGCAGUGACUUAUAGAGUUGUUGCUGCCUUAGAGGCUGAGGUCGAUUCCUGAUUGAAGCAAGUAACUCUUCAUAUUCCGAAGGAAGUCCUCUAAGCACACAAGAAACGACUUCACGGUCCUCCAUUGGAAACCCAGCUGCAUGGAGGCCCUUGACGAUAUUUUUCACUUCGUUGAUGUAUAUAUGCAUGUGCUUGUUAUCUGCCUUUUUCAUCUUCAGAUUUUCGAGGCGAUCCUUAAGACGUUUCACGUGAGCUGCUGCCUUUUGAGCAAAUAGGCCUUCAAAGACCAACCAUAGAGCUCUUCCACUUGGGCAUCCUACUGCACGUCGGAGUAGUAGGUCUUCAGAUAAGCUUUCAUUGAUCAAACCCAGGAGUAACUGGUCCUUCUUAGUCCAAUGUGUAUAAGCUUCGGUGCCACUUGGUGGACACAGCUCUGAUCCUUCGGCGAGAUCCAAUAUAUCAUGGAAAUUGAGGAUUGGGGUGAUGAAGGAUUUCCACAGCAAGUAAUCAUGCGACCCCGUGAGUUUGACUGGCAUGGAGAUUGAAACUUGUUGAGGAGGCUGAGAGGUCAAUGACGAUGACAUUGCUGAUCGUCUAUGUGCGAAGCUUUUGAUACCUAAAAGAUAAAGAAGUGAGAUUCUUUUUCGGUGAUUGAGGAUUGGUUUCCAUCCAUCUUCUAGGUCACUAUUUAUAGGGAACUAGCACUGCAUGUGUAUAUUAUCAGUUGAAAAUAGAACUCGACUCGGAUUAGGAUUUAUAAUCCAUACUGCAGGUGGAGUUUUGGCCUCAUCGCGUUGGAUAAACCCCCCCAAGUCCCAGAUUCCUAGCUAGUUCAGCUAGUCCCAAACUUGGUUGGAUAAACUUUUUUGUUUUUGUUUUUGAAAGUGUGGUUGGAUAAACUUAAAUUCUAGAAAAGACUAAUUAACCGAUACUACUCAUCGCGUUGAUAUACUGCCAGAGAAGGAGGGAGAAUACCGAGUAGUACAUACGUUGAUGUACUACUCCCAGGUUAAUUAGUUCACAACUUCACAUAUUAAUUGACAGUUGAACCAUUCAUUUGUGUAAGUUUCCUGAACACUUUGUCAAAUUACUAGUUGCAUGUUCUGAGAAGUGAGAAUUGAAUUCAGAUAAUAACUAGUUCGGAGGAUGGGUCAGCACGCGCGUACAUAUAUAACAACAUUUUGUUCUUUAAAGUUAGUAAAGGGAUUAGUGUCAUUUUUUUUUUUCAUGCUGGUUGUUAAUUCUUCAAAUGAUUAAUCUUCUAGCUCUUCAAGUUGGUUUCUGCUAUGACCUGAUUAAUCUCAAUUCAUAUUAUAGGCUUGUGGUAGUGGUCGGAGUUUAUCAGUUUGGAACCUUCCUGCUUCUGAGUGAAUUUCAAGGACUUCAAGACAUGUAUGCAUCUGUACAGGAUGUAGUAUUUGAUGAAAAUCAAGUAAGCUUCUCCCUCUCUACCAUAGUUUCUACCUAGCGUUAUACAAAAACUGAGUAACUUUCUUUCAUAUAUAUUUCUCUAAAUUAAAGAAACUUUUAUACAUGUAUAGACUCCAUUUCACUCACUAGCCGUUGUUGCUUCUCUCCUUUCCAGAUAUUAGCGCGCAGUUGGCCGGAGCAGAUAGAGCCUCUACUUAGCCGUUUUGACAUAAUUAACUGGGGCGAUUCUCUUUCACAAAUGCAAUGUGCUCCUCAGUCAGCCUUUCUUGUCUCAUCUGGGGUAGGAAUUUAGCUUGAUCUUGCACUUCUAAGUUCUAACUUGAACAAUCUUUCGGGCUUCAUUAUGUUGGUCUUUUUUUGUACAAGAUUAUAAGAAUACUUGUUAGCUAGUCAUGAAAAUCCGUUCUCUAACUUGAAAGAAACAUAAGAAUAUGUCCACCCAUCCACAAAAAUUUAACCUAGGUUAAAAGCCACAUAGGCAAUCUAACCUAGAUAAAAAAAAAAAAACAACUCAUCCACCCGUGAAAUGAGUUAUCUCAUUUUCUAGGAGAGAUCUAACCUAGGCUAGAGGAGAAAAGUGACCCAGAUGAGGUUGAUCCACCUCAGCCCAUGCCCAUGCUCAUGGCUUGCAUCAGCGACGUGGCCUCCACACUAUGACACCCCUGGAAGAUACGUUUUACACACGGACAGAGGCAAACGAAGGAGACGCAUGUGUUGCACCGAAUUUUGGCGUGACAUGCGGAUGCAAUUUGACUCUUUCAAACGCAAUAGUACACAGAUCUUGACCGUUGGUUUGAGACAGUUUGACUAAUCUGAUGGUCCUUAUUUCAUGACCGUUGCAACUGAAUUUUUAUUUAAAAAGAAAAAUUCCGACCGUUUUGAAUAAAAUCAAAAAAAAAAAAGGUAGGUUGAGAAUAAAUACCAAAAAAAAAAAAAUUCAUUUUUUUUAAUAAAAAAUUGUAAUAUUUAUAAGGAUUAAAUUCAGUUUGCCCUCUCGUACUUUAGGUCAAUAAUCAAUUUGGUCCCAUAUCUUUUUUUUAAUAACGUUGGUCCUUGAAGUUCUAUUUCACAUCAGUUUAGUCCAAUUUUUGAAUUGCCCUCCUUACCAUGACGUCAUGGUAACAAGGGGCCCAAUUUCUGACUUAAAAGGACAGAAUAGUCAUUUUAUCAUAUUAUGGUCUUCAAAUAAUUCAAAAUUAACAGAAAUGACAGUGAUGCAUAGUGGUGCAUAUAAAAAAAUAAUCAAAGGUGUAUUAACCUCGUUAAAAAAAAAAAACUUCAUUGUAAAAAAAACAUUACCAAAACCAUCGAAAUGGCAGUAACAAAGUAGAACAUAUUACCAAAACCAUCAAAACGAAUACAAAAGAUGUCAAAUUACCAUUAGCUACCAUUAACUAAGCAACCAAAUAGAUGCAUCAAUGUGUUUUACAUUAGAACUAACAAAAAAAUAGUAGUUUCUGUCGAGUUGCAUAAUAUCAUAAGUCUAAUCAUCUCCACAAAAGAUUAGACUUAGCAACCAUAUGUUACAACAUUACAACAUAAGAAGGUUGCUCAAAAAUAUUGCAACCAUAUGUUACAACAUAAGAAGGUUGCACAAAAUAUUGCAUCUCUAAAUGCUAACCUUGGUUGCUAAUCCCACAAUCCCCUGCAGCUAUUUUCCAGCAUUCCUUUGUUGGAUUCUCACAGACGCCCUUGAUGAAGUUUGUGAAGCUUGUGGUGCAGAAGAUGCAUUUGCAUUGCUUGAAGUAGGUUUUGGUGGUCUCUCCCUUCUUGCAGGUGUUGUUGUUCCCCUAGUUGCUGCUUUCUUUGCAUCCUUAGCCUCCUAUAGUUAAUUUCAUUAAAACAAAUGAAUCAUAACAGUUACUAACCAAAAGAAUGAACAUCUAAUAAAGAAUAGUUAAGGGUUAAUUGCCGAUCAAUUUACCUUCUGUUGCUUGGCUCAUCUAAUUGCCUUUGCUCUAAGCUCAUCUUUUGUCUUUAGGGGUGGUUUGGUACCCUUAGGCUACAACAAAUAUAAUCAAUAUAAGGUCAACAAAUAUAAUCAAUAUAAGGUCAUCUUUUCAAACCAUUAUCAAUUGAACAUAAAAGUGAAAAUACCUUAGAACCAGAUGAACCCACAUCUGUGUUCAGCUUUCUCUUCUUUGCUACAACUAUCUUGUCUUUGGGAGGAAGAUGUCUGUGGCAAGUCUUUCUGUUGUGACCUAGAACCCCACAGUUGCCACACUUCAAACUCUUUUGCACCCUCCCAAGCUUUGUACCCUCUAAAUUUAGUUCAGAUGCAUCUUUGAAUCUUUUAUUCCUUGGUCUCCCUGGCUGCCUAUUAUACUCUGGGGGGAGGAUAGCAGGUUCACAAGGGAUCCACAAGUCCAUUCCAUUCACCGGCUUGACUGUGUUAGAGUAAAUCGCCAUAUAAGUCUUCAUAAGGUAACAAGGAUCUAUAUAGUCUUCCGGACUUUGCCGCAUAAAGUUGAUCACCGAUAUGGCAUGUUUGCAUGGAAUGCCAGUGAGAUCCCACCUCUUACAUGCAUAACUUCUUCUUUCCAGAUCAACCACAUGCCUACUUCCUCCAAAGCUCUCUAUCUCAAUUUGAGGGCUACCAGUGGCAUAAGGAAUACAGUCUGUGGCAGAUUUAACUUUGUUUUUCUCCAAAAAUUCCCUUGGCUUGGGGCAGAUAGGGUCCUCCACUUUGCUCAUCUUGUCUCUUCUCAUUACAAUCCUUCUCAUCAUCCUUACCCUAAUCUCCUCAAAGCAAGAAAUCACAACUUUGGAUCUAGCAGGUAAAAUGAAAGCAUUAAAACUUUCACAUAAGUUAUUGAGAAGAACAUCACAUUUCAGAUGGGUACUAAAGUGUGCCCGACACCAAGUCUUGGUGGUACGUAAGGGAUCUAGUAAAAAAAAUAAAAAUAAAAAAUAAAAAAUAAUCAAAUUAGAUAUAAGCUACUGAACUAGUAUUUAAACAAGGAUGUACAACUGCAUGAUGAAAUACCUGUUAACCAGUCAUGAGCUAAAGGGUCCAUUUCCUUCAUCAUAGUCAUCUCUUUGGUGUAGUAGGGAAUGGUUGUAGACUUGGCUAUUUCCCACAAUUGAUCCUUCAGCGUCUUUCCCCGAUAUAACUUAUUGAAAUUGGUCCACAUAUGCCUAACACAGAACCUUUGUUCUGCAAGUGGAACCACAUCCUCACAAGCUCUCUCUAUUCCCUUCUGCUUGUCUGAUAUAAAUGUCCAUCCAUUGCCUCUUCCAGUUAUCUCUAAAUCAUUCACCAACAACCUUAGAAACCAAUCCCAUGAGUCUUUNNNNNNNNNNNNNNNNNNNNNNNNNNNNNNNNNNNNNNNNNNNNNNNNNNNNNNNNNNNNNNNNNNNNNNNNNNNNNNNNNNNNNNNNNNNNNNNNNNNNNNNNNNNNNNNNNNNNNNNNNNNNNNNNNNNNNNNNNNNNNNNNNNNNNNNNNNNNNNNNNNNNNNNNNNNNNNNNNNNNNNNNNNNNNNNNNNNNNNNNNNNNNNNNNNNNNNNNNNNNNNNNNNNNNNNNNNNNNNNNNNNNNNNNNNNNNNNNNNNNNNNNNNNNNNNNNNNNNNNNNNNNNNNNNNNNNNNNNNNNNNNNNNNNNNNNNNNNNNNNNNNNNNNNNNNNNNNNNNNNNNNNNNNNNNNNNNNNNNNNNNNNNNNNNNNNNNNNNNNNNNNNNNNNNNNNNNNNNNNNNNNNNNNNNNNNNNNNNNNNNNNNNNNNNNNNNNNNNNNNNNNNNNNNNNNNNNNNNNNNNNNNNNNNNNNNNNNNNNNNNNNNNNNNNNNNNNNNNNNNNNNNNNNNNNNNNNNNNNNNNNNNNNNNNNNNNNNNNNNNNNNNNNNNNNNNNNNNNNNNNNNNNNNNNNNNNNNNNNNNNNNNNNNNNNNNNNNNNNNNNNNNNNNNNNNNNNNNNNNNNNNNNNNNNNNNNNNNNNNNNNNNNNNNNNNNNNNNNNNNNNNNNNNNNNNNNNNNNNNNNNNNNNNNNNNNNNNNNNNNNNNNNNNNNNNNNNNNNNNNNNNNNNNNNNNNNNNNNNNNNNNNNNNNNNNNNNNNNNNNNNNNNNNNNNNNNNNNNNNNNNNNNNNNNNNNNNNNNNNNNNNNNNNNNNNNNNNNNNNNNNNNNNNNNNNNNNNNNNNNNNNNNNNNNNNNNNNNNNNNNNNNNNNNNNNNNNNNNNNNNNNNNNNNNNNNNNNNNNNNNNUAAAAGUAGUGUAGUACUUGUGGUGAUAUUAGGAUUGAGCCUAAUAAUGUCAGCAAACUUCCUAAUAAGGUAGGGGUUUUGACAACAGGAUUCUCAUGGACCCUUGCACAAGAAUGCUUGGGAAAGUAUUUCUUGAUCUGUAGUGUGCCAUCAUGCUGCAUCUUCGAUGCAAAGAGCUCAAACUCACACUUAGGGGCCUUAGAUAUCACCCUCACUCGAUCCCUAUCAUUUUUGUCAAAAAUUGGAACCCAACCCUUUUGAAUGGCCCUAUCCUUGAUAGCUUCUCUUAGAAUUUUUGGCGUAGCAAAGAGCAUCCCCAAGGUAAACCUAGGAUUCUCCACAUCAGUUUUAGGGUUGAACUCUGGCCACUUCUUAUCAUUACCAUCUUCAUCAGAAAGCACUCCUUGGCCGAUUCCCUCCUCAUCUGAGUUUAUAGCCCCAGCCGUCUCUUCAUUAUCUUCCAAGUCACCAUCAUCAUAAAAGCCAAAGUCUGUAUUUCCAAAAGUAACUCCUUCUCCAGCUGCAACUUUUGAAGUGCCCAUACCAUCAGUCACCAAUUCAGCCUCUGUUAACCAGUCAAAAAGAAAAUCAUCAUCCACUCCAUAAUCUGCAUACUCAUCAUCAUCCUUUGCAGGGUUGUAAUCAUCAUCUUCAGAGUCAUCAACCUCUGAACCAUCUUCUUGUACAACAUCUUCAGCUGCCCCUAAACCAUCAUCUUCACUAUCAUCAUCAUCCUCAACUGCCUCAAACUCUAACUUAUUCUUGCCUUUAUCUCUAGGGUCAAUUGUUGGAGCUCUGCUAGCUUGGGUUGCAACCUCUACAUGUUCUCUAAUCAACACACCUUUCUCAGGUUUCCUCUUAUUUGCACAUCUUUUAAACUUUCGGGUCCUUGGUGUACUUGCAUCUGCCACCUUAGUAGACUGUUCUUCCCUAGGUGGAUUGGAGAUCUCCUCUAUUCUCACACUUGUCCUCGGUGGUGAGUCAGGAAUCUCUUCUAUCACAACCCCACUUGAUCCGGCUUGACUAAAUCCCCAAUCAAAUAUAUGUUGUUCAAACAUCUCCAUCUCAGCUUCUCCAUUGUAAGCAGGGUCAAGCUCUAAGUGGUCUAGGUAAAGAAUGACCAAUCUUAUCUCAGGCACCAAGCAACACAUACUCAUCACAUCAGUAUCAUUAGACAGCUUGCUCAUUAUGUCUCCCUCAGUGCCUAUGCUAUACCAAUAAUCAAUACGUGUUCCAGCAUAUGCAGGAUUAAUCCCUCUUACCAUAUUAUCCACCUCAGUCAAUGAUAUUCGGUCUUUGUCCACAUAAUCGUAGUAGCUAAUGCUGCCACCGAUGUACUUGGCCUCUACAUGAUGCACAUAUCCCCCGUGAUACACUUUCAUUGUAAAAUAGUCAGGUUAUACUGGAACACAUGAACAACAUACAAUAUUAAAUGGAUCCAGGAAUUAAACCCCACCAAAUGGUCCAACUACUAUAAACCAAACAUAUUCAAUUCUCCAAUACAAACAACGUCCUAAAAGUAAUCGUUCUAACCACUAUAAACAAAAUAGAAAGCAUAUUCAAUUCUUCAGUAGGACCACUUUUAAACCCUUACCCUUUGUUAAAUCCCUAUUUUACCAACCCAACAACAUUCAUCGAUUGAACAAUCAUCCAACAAUCAAUAUUCAUAUAGGACAAUCAAUAUUCAUAUAGAACAAACCAAAAAACAUUAAUUGAAAUCCUAAAAAUCUAAGGUCCACUAUCGAAACACCAAAGUCCAUAAACUUCCAAACCCUAAACCAUAACAACCCUAAAUUCGAAGCUUCCAAACCCUAAAUCUAUAAACCAAACAACCCAAAAUCAAUAGAAUCAAAUAAAAUUGAAAACCCCAACUCACCAUAAUUGGGAAUUUCUGGCCAGACGCCUUCGCUUCGGGGUAUCCAUUCAUCAAUUGGAGGCGCAGCCAUGCUCUUUCGCGACCUAUGAUGGGUGGUUUAGGGUUCUAUGAGGGACGACACAGUUUCUAGGUUUCGCUCUCUUUUUUGAGAACGAGUGAGAGCGACAGCGACUGAGAGAGAGUGACUGAGAGAGAGCAAACGAGAGAGAGAGGUAUAAACGGUGAGGGCUAAUUUGGUCAUUUCACGUAAACUCUCUCCUUUAAAUCAGAAAUUGGGCCCUUGUGUCGCGGACAGCUCAACGCAUGACGUCAUGGUAAGGAGGGUAAUUCAAAAAUUGGACUAAACUGAUGUGAAAUAGAACUUCAAGGACCAACGUUAUUAAAAAAAAGAUAUGAGACCAAACUGAUUAUUGACCUAAAGUACAAUGGGGCAAACUGAAUUUAAUCAUAUUUCUAAUAGUAACAUAAAAAAAUCUCCUAUAUAUACUUGGUCAAUUUCUAAUAGACCGUAGUCUUUUAAAUGAAUGUUGGAUUAUGCACUGGCCCAAUACCCACCUUACUCAUUUGGCAAGGGUUGGCCAACCAUAAUCCUUUACUUCUAUCUACGGAACUGCCUUGUGAUAAUAGGAGUCAUAUUUUUCGGUCUGAAGCGGGUUGGGCCGAUGAGAAUGAGCCUAAACAGAUUGUUGAAGAAUGUUGGAAGCCUCAGACUUACUUGCCUAGCCUUGUUCAAUGGAAAGCAAAUCUCUCCUCUUGUAAAAAAAAACUCUGGAUUUGGAGUAAAGAAAGAUUCCCAAUUUGUAACAAACAUGAGAUCAAAGAGUGUCUCCUUCAACUUGAAGAGUUACAAGGUACUGAUCCAUAUGGUUCUUCUUCUACCCAAUUGAAUCUCAUUAACCGGUUGGGUACACUUUGGCUGAGGGAGGAGAAAUACCGACAUCAAAGAUCUAGAAUUCGUUGGCUCUCAGUGGGUGAUUCCAAUACUCGUUUCUUCCACUUAUCUACUUUUCAUCGGAGGCAGAGGAACCAGAUACUUAAGAUUCAGAAUGACUUUGAUCAAUGGAUUGUUGGGGAGAAGUUUAUUAGAUUGGCGUUUGAGAAUCAAUUCCAACAGACAUUUACCAGUAGUGGUUUGAGGAAUUGGGGGGAUUCGUUGAGGGGUGUUGCCCCUGUUAUAACUAAUGAGAUGAAUGAUGACCUCAGCUGGCCUUUCACUUAUGAUGAAGUUAGAGAUGUAGCUUUUCAGUUGGGAGCGUUGAAAGCUCCAGGGCCAGAUGGAUUUCUAAGCCUCUUCUAUCAUAAGUAUUGGGGAGUUGUUAAUGGUAUCAUAAAGACUACUUCCUCUGAUUUCCUUGCUGGGAAGGUGAGUCUUAGGAGCAUUAACCAAACUCAUAUUGUUUUAAUCCCAAAAAUCCCCAACCCAGAAAUAACUUCUCAUUUCAGACCAAUUAGCCUUGCAAUAAUUCCUACAAAAUCUUGUCCAAACUCCUAACCAAUCAACUUAAACCUAUCUUUUCCCAUAUUAUUUCUCCCAACCAAAAUGCUUUUGUCCCGGAUAGUCUCAUCCAGGAUAAUAUUAUGCUUGCCCAUGAGACGUUCCACUAUCUCAGGUUGAAGAAGGGUGGGGAGAAUCAUGAGUUUGGUUUAAAGCUUGACAUGAAUAAAGCCUAUGAUAUGGUUGAGUGGGAUUUUCUUGAAGCUACCCUUCGCCGGUUUGGUUUUGCAAAUGGUUGGGUGAACCUAAUUAUGGCGUGUGUGACUACUGUGUCUUUUUCUAUCGUUCUCUAUGGUUGUCCUGGGAGUUUCUUCUGUCCGAGUAUAGGAUUGAGGCAAGGAGACCCUCUCUCCCCUUAUUUCUUUUGGUUAGUGAGGUUCUUUCUCUACGUAUUACCAAGAUUGUGUUUACUUGGUGUGAGACUUGCCACUAAUUGUCCCCCAUUAUCCCACCUAUUUUUUGCUGAUGAUUCACUAUUUUUCAUGAAGGCCACCUUCCUCAACUGUUCCAAGAUAUCUAUGAUUUUCAAAGAAUACUGUUUGGCUUCAGGUCAACUUAUUAGUCUUGAAAAAUCAAGUAUUUAUUUUACUCCUAAUACCUCUGAUCAGAUGAAGCAUCUUAUGAGUUUGUUGUUGGGUAUCAAUGGCACUGAUCAACGGGGAAUAUAUCUAGGGCUCCCAACUUUUUGGGGAAGGUCAAAAAAUGGGGCUUUGGCAUACAUCAAAGAGAAGUUGAUGAAUAAGAUGGAUGGGUGGAAAGAAAAUGUAUUGACUCAAGCUGGCCAGGAAGUACUUAUCAAGUCUAUGGUUCUUGCUAUUCCAUCAUACCCCAUGUCCUAUUUCAGAUUUCCUAAAGGUAUAUGUGAUGAUUUAAUGCUGCAUUGGGGAAUUUUUGGUGGGGGUCCAAUGAGAGUGAGAUCAACAUCCACUGGAAAAGUUGGCAAUUUCUGGGUUUACCUAAAGAGAAAGGAGGAAUGGGGUUCAGGGACUUGCAUGAGUUUAAUCUAGCAUUGAUUGCUAAGCAAGCUUGGAGACUAACCAAUUAUUCAGACUCUUUAUGGGCUAGGUCUUAAAAGGGAGAUAUUAUCCCAAUUGUUGUUUUGUAGAGGCAACAAAGGGUUAUAGGGCCUCUUGGAGUUGGUCGAGACUUCUUGAAGCUAGGGAUUUUAUCACAAAGAAUAACUACUGGCAGAUUGUUUCGGGAGCCAUGGUAAACAUAUGGACUGACUAUUGGCUUCCACCAACUGACACAAAUGAACCGGUUCGCCCAAUUCAUAUUACUGGACUCAUUCCGAGUCAUGCUCCUAUCAUGGUUGAAGAGAUUAUUGAUUGGGAUCAAUGUUAUAAAAAUCCCCGCCUAGAACCGAUUAAUCCCCGCCUAAGCGUUAGGCGAUGCUUUACCGUUUCCGUCUAGAGAGCUAGAAAACCGAUUAAUCCCCUAUUAACCCCCUAGGCGCUAGUCACUGGCUAUCCGCCUGACUAGCGCCUAGCGUUUUUUAAAACAUUGAUUGGGAUACCCGAUCUUGGAAUCUAGGAAACAGCAGACUCUAAUCCAGCCAAUGGACUUGAAUCGUAUACUAUCCAUUCCUAUUGACAGGAGGGAGGACCUCGACCAUCGGAUAUGGCCCUUAACUAAGCAUGGUACUUUUACUGUCAGGUCGGCUUAUCACUGGUACCAUCAUUUGCAGUCAACUGUUCCUAUCAAUAUAUGGGUCUUCCCACUCCAUUGAUACUAGAUGCUAGGAGUUAAUAAGGAAACUGCCUACACUUCCAAAGAUCAGGCAUUUCUUUUGGAAAGCCUGCAGCUACUCCUACUUAUCUUAGUCUCUAUUAGAGAAAGAUCAUCCAAUCUCGGUUGUGCCCUAUGUGUGGUGUUUUUGAGGAGUCUAUUGACAUGCAAUCUUUAUGUGUCCAUGGGUUGACCUUGUAUGGUUCGGUUCCCCUCUUGGAUUGAAGAUUGACAAACAAUCAUACACUACACUCGAUACUUGGUUAUUACAGGUGAUUAAGAAUUUCAGUAGCAAGAAGGAUCGUCAAUGGGCUCUUACCUUGGUAUGUUUCUUCAUCUGGUCGAUCUGGAAGGCUCACUGUCGGUUUGUAUACCAACACAUCCCUGUUUCUCCGACCAUUGUCAUUCAGCUUGGUUGGGAGGCGGCUUCCGAGUUCAAGACAUCGACAAAACCUACUGCUGAAUCUCCUAUGUUUGAACAAGUUUUGAACUGGAAUCCUCCUCCAAUGGAUAUGAUUGCUAUCAAUUGUGAUGGGAGCUGGGAUAAAUCUGGAUUGGGGGGAAAAUGUGUGGUGAUUAGAAACCACAUGUGUUCGUUUAUGGGUGGUCUUGCUACCCCGAUUCGCGGUAGCUCAGUAGAGGCUGUGGAGGCGCUAGCCAUUCUAGCUAGCGUCAGUCUCGCCGUUGAUAUGAACCUGAAAGCAGUCCAAGUUCAAUCAGAUUCACAAUCAGUCAUCUUAGAUCUAAAUUCUCUUGCCACAUGCAAUAAUUAGAGAACUAACAUGAUUGUUGAAGAAAUCAAAUGGAAGAGCAAGUUUUUUGUUCGGGUUCACUGGAGGUGGAUACCGUGAGAAGCUAAUUCUGCUGCUUUCACAGCAACACAUCUUGGAAAAAGAGCGAUGGGCCUCUGCAUCUGGUCGAAGACUCCCCCACUGUCUCUCACUAUGGUUUUGAGAAAUGACGGGUUUCCAUGCCCUCAUAAUGAUGUAAUUUAGAGGAAGCACUGUGCUUCCUGUAUUUUAAGCUCUGUUAUCUUCUCUUACUGCCACUGUUUGGUUUGUGUUGGAGAACAUGAGUUUUCCUUGUGAUUUGUAGUUUGGGUUUUUUGCCUCUUUAUUGAAUUAUUCAGCUUGUCAAAAAAGAAAAAAGGAUGGUUUUAUCAACACCCUUAGUAUGGAACCCGGAUCCUCUCCUCAUGAGUUGGUCCUCAUAUUUUCUCAUGAGAGGAUCUCAGCCUUUUAUUAUGAACCAAUGGCUGAGAUCUUCCUAGUUAAUUUUAACCCCCUAUUACCCAACUUACUCACUUACUCUCCCUCUUCUCCUCAAAAUAUCAGGCUGCUCUCUCUCUCUCUCNNCNNNNNNNNNNNNNNNNNNNNUCUCUCUCUCUCUCUCUCUCUCUCUCUCUCUGUCGUCGUCGCCCCACACCCGCCCUCUCUCUCGAAUCCGCCGUCGCGAGCUCAGCCUCCCUCCGCAGUCGUCGCUCGUGAUCUCUCUCUCUCUUCCGUAGUCGCUCGCGAGCCUCCCUCCGCCGGCGACGACUCUGCCUCCCUCCGCCAGCGCUCGCCCGCCUCCCUCCGUCGUCGCUCUCUCUCUCUGCCGUCGUCGCUCGCUCUGCCUCCCUCCGUCGGCGACAACCUCUUCCACUGGUUACUCCGACAAGUCCUCUCUCUCUCCACGACGUCCUCCACCAUAUCUCAAGCUCUCAAUUUUUCAGUACUGGAGUUUCAGGUUCGAUCUGCAGUUGCAUGGGUGUAUGCGUUUCUUAUCUAAUUUGAUUGCAUUGGAAUUAUAGUUUUGAGAUUGAAUCUCACUUUUGUGUAUGUUCUUGUGAUUGUUGAAUAUAGGUCUUAAGAAUGGAAAAGUCUGUGGGAGAAAGCAACAAUAGUUUGGAGAGAUCAAAAGAAGAUUUGAAACCUAAAUAUUACAUGGAGUUUGAUUCUGAGAUAGCCGCAUUCAACUUUUAUAACACAUAUGUUCAUAUCACUUACAGGCACUGUAUUUUUUUUUUCAUCGGAUGCUUGGUGUUGCUUUUAUUCAUAUUUUACAGAAGCCUGUAACUUGCUUGUUUUACCUAAUUUAGUCUAUGAUAUCUUACACUAAGUUCCUUUUUAGGUUCUGAAAAUCUACUUUUGGUUGUGAAAUAAAUAUCUCUUCUGGAAUACAUUUUUGCUACGCCAUUUAAAAUUGGUCGACUCAUCUAAAAUUGGUAACCCAGAUAGAACUGAAAGUUUGUUUUUCUGCUGUUGUUUUUAUCUUCAAGAAGUGCAGUGGAGUCUGGGGCACAUUCUGCAACAGAUUCUCUCUUUAGAAUGGAUUGGCCGAUAGAUGGGGUGCCAUGCUCAUCUGCUAAAAUUUUUGAUGUGCUGAGACCUUCGUCUUUCAUGUUUGUAUAUAUAUCCACCUUUUUUUUUUUGGUUAUCUGAUUAUAUUACUGGUAUUACUACAUCUGAAUCAUUCCAAUAUGUCAAACCAGAUGUCUUUGAUGCCUUUUGAAGCAAAUUUUGGGACAUAUGACAAGAUUUGUAGUGUCAUUUUGUAUAACCGUUGGGAAAAUUGGCAGAUUUGUAGUGGCAUUUUGUAUAGCUGUUGGGACAAAUUUGUAGAUUUUGUAUAGUAGCUAUGAGUCUAUGUCUUGCAGAUUUUGUAUAUUUUGUAUAGUAGCUAUGAGCUUAUGACAACAUUUUGUAUAGUGGCUAUGAGCAUAUGACAAUAUUUUGUUCAAUCUAGUGCAACAGGGGAAAAAUGGUAAAUUUGAGAUGAUAGUGUCAUUUUCAGAAAAAACUGCAUUCUGUGUUUUUGCUACAUCUCUAUUCAGUUUUAAAUUACCUGCAUUACUUGCAAUAUUUUUUACUGAUCUCAGAUGAAAUGAAAUUGCAUUCUGUGUUUUUGCUCCAUCUCUAUUCAGUUUUAAGUUACCUGCAUUACUUGCAAUAUUUUUUACUGAUCAGUUCUCUCAUAAAUUCAAAGCUGAAACAAUCAAAAUGCAGUACAAUCAUUCAUACUGUGAAAGGUUUCUUCAUUGAAAAUUUGAAAAACCCUAGUAAAUUGGUCGAUGAGUCUAUCUGACAUCUUCUUGGAUUCACUAAUAUUUGAAUGACUAUAAACUAGUAUAGUAGUCAUUUUUUACAUGGGGUUGAAUCUACAAUGGCAACUAUCUUCUUUUGCAACUCUACCUUGUUGGCUCCGACAAGCUUGUCAACUUGUUGACCAUCUCGGAGGAAGAAGAAAGUAGGAGUGGCCUUGAUAUCCCAUGAAGUUCUGAAAUCCUGCACCAUACAAAACUGAAUGUUAGAAUCACCUACCAUUAAACAACUUAUGAUAGACACUAAACCAACAUCAAUGUAUUGGACACAUCAAACCAUCAGCAUCAAUAGCACCAACUUUAUUGAAUUAACCAAAUUGGUUACCAACUAACAGUAAGUUCAUCGAUUGCAAUCCUCUAUGGUGGUGAUGAGGUUCACAUUCCCACCAGUGAACUCAACAGUAUGUUCAGACUCGUCAUCUCCCAAAGAUUUAGACUACAAGCAUCACAAGCAUGAUAACUUGUCAUAUUAAACAAGGCAAGAAAAGUAAACACUUGGUGGCAUGCAAAAAGUAUCACAAUCAUUACAAAGAGCAUCAUAGUCAUUAAGAAAUGGAAACAUCUUUAUUGCAGACCCCAGAGAGGAGUACUAACUACAUCUUUUGCAUGAAUAUUAGGCAUAGAAACUGAAGUAUUGUCCAAUUUGUCUACAAAAUUCUGGUGAGGAAGAUGCGUAAUUACCAAUUGACAUAUGGAAAGUCAAUUCCCCUUCAGCAAUCAACGUGGUGCUAGGUACAAAUGGAAAUCUCAAGUAUUCAUCUCCACUAGAGUUGAAAACCCCAACAACAUCUGCAUUUUCCUCCCUUCUGUACACCGAGUCGCAUAAAAAACCAACGAGCUCGGUACAUAUCCAACAUCCCCACCAAGAGGAUUGCAAUUCACACCCCCACCACACUCACUCCCAUACACCAAUUCAAAUCUCUCGAGACGGUUACCAAGCAACCUACACAAACCACCGUUCGAAUCAUUCAAAUUACUCAAACCUAUACUCUCUCCACUCUCAACACUACUCGGAAAACUACUCAUCCUAUCUUCCCCAACAAAUGUAUACCCAUAACUAUGCUUCACAGAAAAAGUCAACACCAUAAUAGCAUCAAAAUAAUUCUCACCAUCAUCCUUGUCACUAACAACACUCUCUAAGCUCCCACUAAUUAAAUUGUCAUAAAUGCUAGACCAUUUCGGAUAAUUAAGCUUAAGAACAACAUUAGGCUCGAAGUUACCUGCAUUAUACAUGGACCUACUCUUCCCAAUCAUACACAGCUUCUUAUCGAAUUCCGAAUAAUACCCAUCAAGCCUGAACCUCACCACACCCCGCGUGACCGGAAUCCUCGGUCCCCGAAAGUUCACCAGCGUCGCCGGCGGGGGAGGCUCGAGAGCGACGACGGAAGAGAGAGAGAGAGAGAUCGCGAGCGACGACUGCGGAGGGAGGCCGAGCUCGCGACGGCGGCGGGAGGCAGAGAUCGCGACGACGGAUUCGAGAGAGAGGGCGGGUGCGGGGCGACGACGGCAGAGAGAGAGAGAGAGCAGCCUGAGCAGCCCGAUAUUUUGAGGAGAAGAGGGAGAGUAAGUGAGUAAGUUGGGUAAUAGGGGGUUAAAAUUAACUAGGAAGAUCUCAGCCAUUGGUUCAUAAUAAAAAGCUGAGAUCCUCUCACGAGAAAAUAUGAGAACCAACUCAUGAGGAGAGGAUCCGGGUCCCUUAGUAUGAGGGUAAGAGCUCGACAUUCAAAUAAUGAGUAUCUAAAUACGAAUUUAGGUUGACACAGACCAAAAAGGAUACAUAUCCAAUUUCGUUCAUCUUGGGUUUGGAUAAUUUACAGGCCCAACUAUAAAGAGUUGUAUUUUAAAAGAACACCGAACACGUCUGUGUUCAUAAACGGUGGCCGUGCAAAUCCUCAGCGCCUUCUCAACAACUAAGAAGAAGAAGAAGCAGUAGCUACAGAUCGAGGUAAUGGAAACCCUAUCGGAGCACCGAAUCUCGGCCGCAGCUCCCGCCGUCUUCAUAAUCGUCGUCGCUUUCCAGUUUCUCUCCAAGUGGCUCGAACAGUUAAAGAAGGUACCACCCGAAACUCUACCCCUACCGCAUAGAUUUCAAAUUCGAUGCUUGAAUUCUUCAAUUGGAUCGGUUGUCAUGUUUUCUGAUAGCUCAAUUCUGACUGAGAUUGGGUUCUUUUGUUGUUCUCAGCGAGGACCAGUGACUGCUGAGGAGACUCGGUUGCGGAGAGAGAUCAAACAGCUUUCCAAAGAGGUAAGCUCCUUGUCACAGUGAGUAGUCUGUUAAUCCAAGUCUAUGUUUUCUCAAUCUUGCACAGCAUUAUGGUUUCGGCUUUAAUUGUGGAUCAGUUAAUCUUGUUAGCUUCUUUAAUGAGUUAAGAACAUGUAUGAAACUUGAGCACACAGUAUCGAUUAGAGGUUCACAUGGCUUUUUCGUGUUUUAAACUUGAGCAUACAUUUUGCAUUUGUAUGAUUUUAUUUUAUUUUGAUGCAGGCCAGCAACAUUUGCGCAAGCUGCAAAGCUUAGGAGGAUGGCGACUGCGAAGGAGAAAGAACUCACAAAGCGUACUGUUUGCAAACUCAGCCAUUCAUUUAGGUUUAUGUGUUUUGGUGCCCUGUUAUGGGUGGAUAGAUUCUGACAGUUUUUCUGACUUCCGGAUCAAGAGUUACAGGGCAAGGAUUUAAAAGGUUCAUAUGAUUUGUAUCUGAAAGUUUUGUUCACCUCCAAGGUAAUGCUGAAUCUUUUAACAUAUCAAGUAUUCUUUUUCAGUUUACCUUCCAUUGUUAAAGUUCUUAACAGCUACAGAUAAUUUUCAUUUAGGUCUUGACAUAUCUUGCGCUAGUUUGCUGGUUUUGGAGGCUUCCAGUUGCCUCCAUAUCACAACAACUUGUUCAACCCUUUGGUAAUACAUUCUUCUUCCAAAUUUACUUAUCGAGUCGUGUAGAUCUUUCUACCAGUCUGGCUAUUCGCAAGUACUUCUCUUUCUUCUUCUCUUUAAAAUAAUUUGACAUCUGAGUUCUCCUCACUACCGUGCAUAUCUGCUCCUCCUAAGCGUAUGACUUUGCAUAAUUACUAAUCUAUCAACAAAAGAGAGACACGCUUCUGGAGCACAGACCAAGUAGGAUGCAGAUUAUAAGUGAUAGUAACAUAAAUAAUCGAGUGUACUCAUGAUUAUAUAUAUUUUUGCUUUUCAGGAAAGGUGAUAUCAUGGAGGGCUGGAGGAGUAUUAAAUGGAAAUGUUAUGGUAAAUAAGAUUGGACCGUACUUUUUUGUUCUUGCUGUAGUAUACUUUUCUUGGGAGAAUUGUUGCAGUUGCCUUUGUGUAUCGAGCAGCUAAAUGAUCUUACUAGUGUCACUUCUUUUAGCAUAUCUUUUAGUGCCUUCUUGUAUCUUUCAUAUAAGCUAACAGUGCCUAGUCAUCUAUCUUUUAUAUUCAUGUGGCUAUGUUGUCAUAGGUUGUAAACAUGGAAGUCUCAUGGCGACAAGUUACUGUAAGUUUUAUUCGUAUAUGAAUAAGCACACUCAUUAAGUCAGAAAGAAAAGAGUAUGGGUCUGUUUGCUGUGCAAGGUUGGAUUGGAUAUGCAACUGAAUGAACUUAUAGUUUAAAGAAAGAAAGAAAGCCCAGCAUCCACCUUUUGUGCAAGUUAAAGGAAGAUGAUAAGUGACUUCAUUGAGGAAACUUAUCCUUUCCGGUUCUUACAAAAUGGUUGGACAUGUACUGCUUAGAAUUAAUCCAUCUACUCACUGAACUUAACCUUUAUUUUUUUCAUUCAAGUCGGUGAAGUCACCUUGAAUUGAAUGGUUAUACAUAUCCGAUCCAAUCCUAGAUACAGAAACAGGCCCUGUGUUCUUUCAAAUUGCAUGGGAUAGGAAGCAUCUGAUGGUUUUGAACAUUUUUUUUCUGUUUUUUUCCUUGUUCGAUUGCAGGUGGGAAUUAUUCCUUGGUUGAUAUUGUCUACAUUAGCAAAUUUGUUUGUCGACUUUUCAAACUGUAGAAUUUAUAUGAGUUCUGUCCCAAAUUGUCAUAAUGACGGAACGUAAUGUUGUUUUGUUUAAGAUUAUCUGACAAGGUUUAGUAGUUUACACAAGAGCUUAGGAUUUACUUACUGAUCAUAUGAUCUUAUACCGUCUCUCUAUGUAACUCUAGUUUACAAUCACUUCUUGUAAACCCCAUUCUCUGUAUUGGUUUUCCAUGUGAAAAUCCAGUAAAAGUUUGCGAUGUCUUCUGCGAUCUGUAGUUUAUUACGUUGAUAAACUUAUCAUUAACUUUGGUCAGAAGGGAGUAAGUUCUUGUUGCUGAUCGAGUUGCAUUCUUCCUUGUUAGCAUCGUAAGUAGAAUAAGCAUUCUGAUGGAGGAUAUGGCAGAUACCAGAAUAUAUACCGCCAAGAGUACGGGGUUUCUGAUGGUUAACAUACAAUACUUUAUGUACAUCACAUUUUGUACAUGCGUAACCAGAUCAUGACGGUGUCAUGCGCAUUGAAAUAAUGUAUACGGAGGUUAUCCAUUUUGCGAGAAAGCAUGAAAAAACCAAAUACAAAGGAGAAAAAGCAACCAGUUACACAUGCAGCGAUAGCAAGUUCUGGUGAAUAACCUAAAACUGAAUAUGUGCCGGUAAGAAAUGCCACCACCAUUGCGAUCAAGGCGUAAAAUGUCAGAUUUAUUGCAGUGAGAAGAGGACCAUGCUCCUCCUUUCUUCGGAUCAAGGGACCAUGCUCCUCAUCCUUUCUUCGGAUUGCCAGAACAAUGCGGAUCAUAACAGCACAACUGGACAUACACAUGGCUAGUGUAUUGGCCAUCACGAAUGUUUUGAAUGCUGCAUUUCUUGUUAGUACCGCAAAACCCUGGUCCGGUCCUUUUUCACUUUGGUAACCCCCAGGCACGGCAAAACCUGCUGCAAAAGUUACAGUUGCUAUGAGUGUUGACACUACCAGAUUGGCCUCUUUUACUUCAUUUACCAUGAACUCCUUCUCACCAUCUUGGUGGAUUCGAAGACGGCAAUGUCCUCUUGCACCAGUUUUUAUCAACUGCUGGGUAAGUUCUGAGUGCAGCACCACCUACAGAUGGAACAUAGAUAACCAAGCAUAUGUGAACAAUGUAUAUAUAUGUUCGAUCCCAAAUAAACAAAAUCAGAACCAACAGAAAGCAAGUGUUAAUUGUCAAACUAAAGAUACACAUAUACGUACCUUCUCGCUUAAUUCAUUACUGUUUUGAAGGAUGUCCAAAGCGUUUAAAUUUCUUUUGUUAAAUGUCAUCUUAUCAACCCUGGGUUCACUUAUAAAAUCCAUGCCUUCAUACAGAGAAGUAGCAAUAUAAUGGAGAGGUGUGUUCCCAUCAGCAUCUUUGCCAUUUAAAAGGACACUGCUAAGCCAUGGAUCAUUUCGUAUAAAGGCUUCUACUUGAUGACUCUUUCCGUCGAUGGCAUAGUGAAGACCAUUCCGACCUUUAUUAUCAACGAAUUCACAACAAUCAGGGCAACGAGAAGCUAGCUCUUUCACUACAGAUAUAUUGCCCUGGUAACACGCAUUAUGAAAUGGCGACCUGUUUCUGUUAUCACAAAUGUAUGCAGCAGAUUUAUCACACUGUAGCAGUUGUUUCACAAUUGCAGCGUGACCCCAACAUGUGGCUAAGUGAAGUGGAGUAUCUCCUAGUUCGUCUACUGCUCUUGUCAAAGCCUUGUUGUUCACUAGAAGUGUUUUGGUCAUCUCUAAAACAUAAAGAGAAAGACUAUUUAGUUAAAUAAACCAAAACAUAAAAAAAUCUCGUUCGGCCGCUCACUAAAGUGUAGUCAUUUUGAGAGUUAAGAGACUAAAAAGAUGGAUUUUCAAAAUGAGAGACUGAACUGAUUUUAACACCAAAGUUCAGGGUACUAAACUGAAUUUUCCUUUUUUUAUAUAUGCUUACGUUCAUCAUUGGAGAUAGCUGCUGCGUGCAAAGAGGUGUAACCAUUGGGGCCUUGAUAAGUUGGGUUUGUGCAGUUUUUGAGCAUUUCAAUAACCAGGGCACGAUAUCCCCUCUCAGUAGCCAUGUAAACCGGAGUUUCGCCAGAAUCAUUUGCACUGUAGAAGAAAUCGGGGUCCUCUGUGGUCAACAUCCUCACUACAUCAAGGUGAUUAAAGCGCACAGCCUCGUGCAAUGCAGUGUUCUUUUCCUUGUUGGUUGUUCUUAUAAGCAUCUGCCAGCACGUCUCUUCUGUCGAGAUACCUCUCUCGAGGUCGCUGGAAUGAUGACAAGCUAAUUUCGAAGCCUGUAUAAGAACUUCCACUAUUGCAGCAUGCCCAUGUCUGGCCGAAAAGUGUAAUGGAGUGUCUCCGUUACCAUUGGGCUGCAAUAGUAGCGGCGGGCACAUCUGGACGAUCUCCUCCACGAUUUUGGCUGGCUUCGACUUCCGCACUGUUUCAGAUUUCGCCAAUGUUGCACGGCCUACGCAUGCUAUAUAAAUAUGGAGAACUGUGUUCUUGGAUGGAGUCAACAUUUGGUGAAGAUGCUCUCCGUGUUCUCUAAGGCAAUCUAUAUUACCUUCUCGUGCAGCUAUGAACACAUCAAUAUCCAUGCCACUAUAACUUACAAACGAGUUACCUGUGUUUGUGUCUGCCGAUUCUUCAAACUGAUCAGCAACACGAGAAGCAAGUGUACCUGUUGUCUCAGUGCUCUCAUCAUGAGUCUCAUACGAAUUGGAGUGAUUCAUUGUGGUAUAUAUGUUUCUGCUCCAGACUAGGGUGUGAAACAAGAACGAUGACUCGAUGAGAAGAUAUUGACACUUGACAGGUGCUUGUGGAGCUGCAGUUGGGUUAAGACUUAAGACUAAAGGAAAGGGUUAUAUAGAUAGAUAUCUCCAAGUGUAUAGAGCAUAAUCUACGUACGUUUCUAGCUCUGUGUUAGAUAAUAUAGUCCUCAAGAACACGCUUAGAAAUUAAGUUCGAAGUGAUACUGACGUCUUGACUCUUGAGGUUUUUGUUUAACCUUUUGUUUCUCAAGUGAGUCAAGUCUAAUGAGGAAGCUUCGAUCGGUGUACUACAUUAUCAAGUAUUUAUUUUUGGCCGGCCACGUUGUUAAGGUAUUCGAUCACAAAUCGUAACCUUCAUUUUUGGCUUGACUGAAUAAACCGUUACCUUCCUAGAAAUUAAAAACCUAUCAUGAGGGCACAAGUGGACAUAGCCAUGGCUAAUGCAUUUGUCUUUGUUAUCACAAACGCCUAUUGAAAGCUACAUUUCUUGAUGGAACAACGAAACCUAGCCACCAGGCAUAGUUAAACCUGCUGCGAAAGUUACAGUUGCAAUAUGAGUGUGGACACUACCAAAUGAGCUCGAGAUUCGUUUUUAUAUCCUUGAAUCUUGACUCGUUGCCACCUUUCUGUUCACGGUCGACUUCCGUGUCAACAUCUUUGUCUCUUGACACGUUCACAUACUCGUUGCACCAUAUCUUCCCAAACCGUGUUUCAUAUAUAUGUUUCUGCAUGCAGCACAAAAGAAAAUGGACAAGAAAAACAUGGUAAUCUAGGAAAUUUAUUUAUUUAUUUUGUGACAAAUGAAUAAUUUAUUAAUUAGAAAAAGCCAAGGAAAAAGAGCUAGUUCUAGCUAGCUAGCUGGUAAAUUAUAUACUUCCAACUCAGCAUUACCGCUCUCUAGAAUGAUGUUUAGCGCGUUUCUUAAUUAUGGUAAUUUGUUGCUGAAUAGGAGAGGGUGUGUUUCCGACAGAAUCUUUGCCAUGUAAAAGGACACUACUAAGCCAUGGAUCUUCCCGAACAAACUCUUCUACUUCAAUUAUUGAUAAUUGCAAUACGUAGGGCAUUACGACUCUUUAAGAACACCGAUUCGAAACUGUCAGCUAGGGAAGAACAUAACUACAUAUUAAGCUGUUGCCUUACACCUGAACGCCCAUAUUAAGCUGUUGUUCAACUAUGUGAUCAUGCCCGUGUUUGGAGGCCAUGUGUAAGGUUGUUACACCUCUCUCGUUGGCUUGCAUUAGCAAUGCUGGACACAUGCAUCUCGAGGAUACCUGCAACCGUAUUGAUGUUGGCUGUGUUAUUCGAUAACGUUCGGCUAUUCUUUUUGCCCAUGCAAUAUAGAUAUGGAGAACUGUGUUCUUUGUUGGAGUCAAUAUUCGGGAUAGAUGCUCUCCAUGUAACAGAAGGACAGAAAUAUUGCCUGUUGUUGCGGCCUUGUUUACUGGAAGUUUCAUCUCAUUUGUGUUGGAAAUUAUGUAAUAAUAUCCAAUAUGAAUGAAAAUAAAAUUACUCAUGACCUUUCCAUUUGAAAGAGUGUGUCUUUUUCAAUAGGUGUUUUUAAGAAUAAGUGUGUCUCUUCAAUGAGAUAAGUGAACGGACAUGUUGGUUCACUUGGGGUACUAUAAAAACGCAUACUCAUUUCUCCUUAAAGGUUAGAUUGAGAAUCCUCAAUUCUUCUACAUGUCUUGUUCGUGUCAAGAGAGUAUUAGAUACAAUUUAUGGUUCGCUAGAGUCCAAAAUUGCGGUGCUUCUAUUUUGGAUCAUUGAUUGUUGUAUACUACAAGGCGGACGCCCAUCGAACUACAAACACAAGGGUAGGGGCGAAAUAUGUCUUUAGUCAAGUGCAUUUAUGCAUGCCUCAAUCGGAAUAUCAAGUCAGUUUUUUCUUUCCUUAUACUACUUUUAUAGGAUUCUUACACUAUUUUACUCUUAUAUUAGGAUUGAUUCACUACUUUCAAUCCUAAACGAAUAUUGUUAUGUUUUUUAUAUUCUUUAUUGAAAUUUCUAUCAUAUUUAUAAUCAAAUAUAUGAUUGUUCCCUAACAACUUGCGCAUUCAUCUUGUGCUUGAGAUUCUUCUUUUUGAAAGAAAAGAAAUGGAGUUUCAGAUAUAUGUAUUUAUAUAUAUACAGUGGGUACAUGAUUCAAUAUUUCAAGUUUCUGAAAUACUUCUACCGAACACAUGUUUAGAUCUUGAAAACAUGUAGUUAUUUAAUCUCCGGUUUUUGUUUUGCAAUUCAGUAUUACAAAAACAGUUUAAUAAUCUUUUCGUUCUCCAAAUAAAAUCCUGAAACCGCCGCCAACUAGAAAAAUCCGGAUGAAGAAAUAACAAGAAGGCACCGUGGCCAAAGAAGAAAACACACCCAAGAACAGAAGCCUCAAUCGCGAGUCCUAAUGAGGAAGGACAUCCUAAUACUGCGUAUGUGCCGGUAACGAAUGCCACCACCAUUGCAACCAUGGCGUACACGGUGAGUUCUAUUGCCGCCCCAUAUGGUCCCAAUGCUAAGCGAAGUACCGUAAUUUCCUUCCUUCUCCACAACAUACAAAAGUGUACCACGAUAGCACAACUGGACAGACUCAUGGCUAAUGUAUUUGUUAUCACAAAUGUCUUGAAAGCUGCAUUUCUUGAUAGAACUGCAUGACCCUGGUUUGGUCCUUGUUCACUCACAUAACCACCGGGGACAGUGAAGCCGGCGGCGAAUGUAACAGUUGCUAUGAGCGCAGACACUACUAAAUGAGAUUCUUUUAGGUCCUUGAAGUUUGACUCUCGGUCACCUUUUUUCACAUCGACUACUUCCUUGCCACCACUAUUCUCUCUUAUUGACUGUAGUCGCCAACCCCAUCUUGCACCUGACUUUGUCAAUUCCUCACGGAGUUUUCUCUGCAGCACAUACACAAAAUGAAAAUGUGAUCUAUAUAGGAAAACAAAUUCUUGGAAAAAUUAAGCGUGUACUAGCUUAGCUAGUAAAUAUAUAUAUAUAUACCCUCCACGGACGAUCGGUGCUUUUUUCACCUAUGUUUAGCGCGUUCAUAUUUUCUUUGUUGAAUGCCAUCUUAUCGACUCUAGAAUCACUGAUGAAUUCCAAGCCUAGGUAGCUUUCGGAAAUAGCAAUUUGAUGGAGAGGUGUGUUUCCGGCCGAAUCUUUGCCGUUUAACAUGACACUACUAAGCCAUGGAUCUUCCCGAACAAAAUUUUCUGCUUCAUCAUCAUUAUUGAUAAUUGCAAUAUGAAGGGCAUUGCGACCCUUAUCGUCCACCAACUCGAAACUGUCAGGGGAGUAGAAAUAGAGCUGCUUCAGUACAUCUCCACACCUGAACCUGAACAUCUUAUGAGCAGCAUAAUGAACUGGUGUGCUCUUGUCAUUGUCGCCAAUGUAGGCAGUGGACUUGUCACAUUCCAGUAUUUGUUUCACAAUUGAAACGUUGCCCGUAAUUGCAGCCAUAUGAAGUGGAGUCCUUCCUUCUACGUCAGGUGCUUUUGCUAGCGCCCUUUCCGUCUCAAGUAAUCUUUUCGUUAUUUCUUCAACAUAUACAAAGCAAAACGCAAUGUGUAAAGCUGUUUCAAUGAGUAAAUUCUAUAUUGUGUUCACAUGCAUCAACUUUGGAUAUAUGCUUACCUUCAUCACCGUAGAUCGCUGCAAUGUGUAAAGCUGUUAAACCUUUGGGUCCUUGGUAGGAUGGACUAGUGCAAGUGUCGAGGAUUUUGGAAACCAAUUGGGUAUGUCCCCUCUCAGCAGCCAUGUAGAGUGGAGUUUCGCCAGCAUCAUUAGCAGAGUACAAAAACCCAGGGUCUUCCUCAGUCAAUUUUUUAACCACAUCAAAGUGAUUGAACCGCACUGCCUCAUGCAAGGCUGUGUUUUUCUCCUUCUUAGUUCUUCUUAUCAGAAACUGGUGGCAUGCUUCUCGUGAUGAGAUACCUUCCUCCAGGUCGCCAUGCCGGACUUUCGCAGCCUGAAUAAGAACUUGAACUAUCUCAGCACGUCCGUGUCUUGCCGCCAAGUGUAAGGCAGUAUCGCCGCUCUGGUUUGGCUGCAGUAGUAGCGGCUGGCACAUUCCAAGCAUCUCCCUUACAACCUCGGCUGACGUCGUCUUUAGCAAUUCUUUAGACUUGGUCGUCGACUUUGCACCGCCUACUACGUACGCCUGCAAUGUAGUCUAUGUAGACAUGGAGGACAGUGUUUUUGGUUGGAGUCAACAUCUGGUGAAGAUGAUUGCUCUGUUCUCUAAGGGCAUCAAUAUUGCCCUCUUGUGCGGCCUUGAACACCUUAACAUCCAUGUUGCUUAUGCUUUCCUCGACUGGUGUAAAUAUCUGGAUUUCCAUAUCAGCUGAAUCAGAGGGAUUUAUUUUUUAGUUUUCUCAAGAACUCGAAAGAGGACAAUAAUGAGCAAGAAAACUAACUUGAUCAAGGAUUGCCGGAAGAUAUUUGGGUGAGGAGUAGGGGAAGAGAAGGGUUGUGUAUAUAUAGAGCAGCUAAGCUACUCGAGCAUGCAUGCAUGGCAAGGUUAAUUAUUCAAAGUAAGGCAUCAAUUUGGAAAAGGACCCAGGUGACAAAAGUCGAUGUUAGAAAGUCUUCUGGUAUAACAAAGUAAUGGGACGAAUCUGCAGGUUCGAUUAGGAUUUGAAAGGCGCGCAUCAUAUUCGGUUACGUACAAAUGGAAUAAGAAUGAGAAUUGAGAAAAGGAUGACCGGCCACGUGCAUAUAUGUAAUGCUUGUGAAUUAAUUAAGAAUAGCUAGCAAAAGUCACUUGAGAAUAAAGAUUUGGAAAAGAUACUCGUUUUUCAUGUUUCCAACAUUUCUUGAUUCGUUAGUUACUUUAUACCUCCCAUUCUAGUGUUGAGUUUAAAUAGCUUCGGGACCAUUUUAUUUCAUUGUACGUACUAAUCUUUUGUGACAAAAGAGCUUAACAAACUGAAUGUAACAUACGAGUGUAUCAAAUGAGUACAUGUACCUUUUAAUUUUAAGGAGAGUGGUUUUACAGAAUAUUAUUCUUUUGAAAACAUUAAGAAGGAAAGUAAAAUCAUCACCAAUUGUUAUUGUUGUUGUAGCUUCUUGCGGUGGCAUGUUGGUUGGACAACAGCUCUGCAAAGUUGGCCUCAUCCUCACCAUGUACAUUAAUCAUGCAAACUGAAGCUAGGAUCCAUCAACCAUCCCCUAAUUUUCGAGAUCAAAUUGACCUAAUUUGAUUCAGAAACAAAGCAACAAAACCUUAAAUGAGAUGACGCAUAAUUUCUCAAAAGAUAAGGGUUUGAGUGACUUUGAAAAGAUUUUCCACAAAAGAUUAGGGUAUAAUUUUUAUUAUACGUAAUUGUCCUCAUCACCAAGUACAUUCGCCAAUGCUCGAGUUGCAGUCGACGUAGUGGAAGGAUCAAUCUUCGAACGUCGAGACUUCACCCUAAUCAAAUCUGAUAUUCAGAAACACACACACCACGCAACAAAUUAGCCCAAUGUCAUGUAACACACACAACCUGGAAAAUACACACUUAAUAUAUUUGAAAUCUUGAAUGAUGUUCUUCCAUAUCUUUGUCGCCAUGGCCCAGCCACACCGCGUCUAGCUAGUGUUAAAAUGUAGCUAGUUAUAUGGAAAUGACUAUAGGUGGAUAAUCUUUUGAUCCAUACAAACUUCAUUCAGAAUGAACCGAAUACAACGACUUUGGGGCAACAAUCCGGAUUAGAUUGGCCACAGUAAGACUUCACAUGUGUACUUACAAACUCAAGAAAUUGCCAAGAGAUUUCUAGGAUAUUUCUUGUAACAUAAUGGGACUAAGACCUGUGAGAUAAGGGUUUGAGUAACUUUGAAAAGAUUUUCCACAAAUGGAAGAGAGAAAGAGAAAUGAAAGGGUCCUGGUAGAAAGGGUGUAGUAGCAAAUCCCACACUCCCCGUAUGCUGCAAGUCUGCAACUUCACGUGUUAACAACUACGUGUUGCAAGUCAAUGCAGUCUUCUUCAUAUUAACGAAAAUAGCAGUACGCUCAUUACAGCUCUACGCGUUAAGAUUUGAAAAAAAAAAA